UGGGGCGGUGGGGGGGAGGCGUUCCGCAGGGCGCCCGGGGUAGGUGGGCGGUAGCUGAGGGGCCUGACUUGGUGUGGGGCGGUUUGUUUAAAAGGCCAGAGAGCGGCAUUUUGGAAAGGUUAGGUUCACACCCCCCCGCCGGAGGUGGCGAUGGACACGCCGCUGCGGGCUAUGCGGAUUGCGGUUCGAAGAUCCGAAAUAGCCUCCUGCUGGUUUUACUGCGAGAAACUCGGCAGCUUUCAGCUCCCUGGAGAGGAUGGGGAAACCCGAUAAGAAAUGCUGGCUGAGCUAGGAAAGUUUAAAUGAGCUGGUGAAUUUUCACCGUGACCUUACCCACUGCAGACAGCGUCUGAGGAGUGUAAACCUGCCCUCUAUGUUUGGAAUUUCGGCGCCUGGGAGUCCUUUUCAAGCAUCCUGCAAAUGAGAGAAAACCAUGCCCCCCCCCCCCCAGUGAAUUAGCAAAGUUGUUUGAAACGAAUCAAAAACAUUGUUUUCUAUUUUUCUUCCCCAAACUGAGGCGGAGAAAAGGAGAAAAUGGUGUCAGGCUUGAUUGUGUUUGCAAUGGAGUGACUUUUAGAAAGUUGAGACAUGAUUAUUUUUUCUCAGUUUAUUGCCUUAUCUAUUGAAAUCAACACAAUGUAAGUUCCCGACAGCUUCCCCAAGUUUUGUUAUAGAAAGUGAAGUGAAAAUUUCCCCUUAUGAUAAACCUGCAAUUUAGUUACAGCCUGUUUCCUUAAGCUUUUGUGUCAUGUUGACAGUUGGGAGUCCCAUAUUUAUCAGAGUAGGACCGUCCAAUAAAAAUUAAGAGACGCAUACAGUAGUGCUUACUCAUAUUUAUCUCCUCUUAUCGGAGUUCCGGUGUUUUGGUCAGGGUUUGUGUCUCGGAGUUUAAUUAGUAAUGUCAGUAUGCUGCUAAAAAAAGUGUGCUCUUCAGGAAUUAGUCAGAAUUCCAUUUACUUUCUAAAAGCUUGUAAUUAAAGUUUUUACUGUAAGUGUACAUGUCACUACCUUAUAUUUAUGAAUCGCUACAUUUGUUUUGAAAAUAUUUUGAAACUAACCAAGGCAUAUGGAAAUAAUGUAUGAUUAGUAGAUAGUAAAUUUAGUGUUGUUUUCUUUUGCUCUUGAGAAAAGUUAGCAAUUCUGAGUACUUGCAGCCAGAAGGAUUGACAUUUCUAUAGUGUAUAAUGUAAACAUGUGAUUCAUUCAGCAAAUAUGAAUUUGCACACAUAAGAGUGCCACCCACUGUGGUAAAGGUUGCUAAAAUGCCUCUCUGUUUCUGUCCAGUAUCUUUUUUUCUUCAUGGCUCUAAGUUUGUAAGAAAGGUCUGUUUCACAUCUUUAAUUUCCAAGUUGUCUAUUUUCUUUAACGAAUUAUUUUCGAAAAAAGAAUGUUGUUGUACAUAAAGAGAAAAUCUAAACACUUGGAUGUCAUGUAUUUCUGGUUGGUUUCAUUUAGUUGAAGUAACUGAUAUCAGAUAGAUGUUUUAUGAUGCCCUUCCAUGCAUCACACUUCAUAGUAGCACGUGAGAAUAAAUAUGUGUGCAGUGUUAAGAAUGAGCAAGCCUGCUGUUGUGUAUGGGUGGGAACAUUAGAAUCAGCACAGCAAACAACAGAUAAUUCAAGUCACCCCUUUCCUUGUGUUUCUAAUGUGAUUAUGCUUAAUGGGAAAAAAACCCUAAACUUAACAGUUUUGUCCUUUAAAAGAACUUUCUACUUUAAUAUGCAUAGAAUAUUUAGAAAUAAGCAUAAAUUUGGAGCACUGAAGGGAAACUGUAGACAUCCUAUGAGAGUACUGGGAAUCUCCUCUAUGUUUUGGUUAAAAAGUUAAUCAGAUCUGUGUUCUAAUUCUUCAAUUGUAUCUGUUGGCCUUGGUCUGUUAACCAGUUCUAGUGUUUGUGUAUGUGAAGUGAGGUUGUUGGAAUGGAUAAUUUACAAGUUGUUUUCUGACUUCAACUUUUACAGUAGGUGCUUAAUGUGAUAUUAAGUGCCAUAAAAUAGAAAUAGUAUAUAAUAAAUGUUGCAUUGCAAUAAUAACCUUUAAAUCCUGCAAUAUUGAGGGAAUUUUCAGAGCCCUGUCUAUAGAAGAAAAUCUGUGGUGAUUUUUAGAGAGUGAAGUACGUUUGCUAGGUUGAGUGUAGUAGCUGAACUGCAUUGCAGUCUAUUAAGUCAAAGUCUGUUUGACUGAAAUGUAAAAAAUUGCAAUUAAGGUGAAAAUGUUCAAGUCCAUUGUAGCAGUAAUAAAAAUCUUGAUUUGGGCAGUGCUCUGUGUCAAGAAUAAGCUUGCUAUUGUGUAUCCAAUUUGAUAUGUUACUGCUUUCUAACUUAAAACACCCAUCAGUGAAUGGAUCAGUGCCAAUUUUUAUUUUAAGGAUUUUAGGCAGAGAAUAUAAUUGAAUACAUAAAGGAAAAGAUGACUUAAGAAGGCAUUUUUAUCUUGUUACAUUUAGAAUUAAGCUAAAAAUGAUCAGGCAGUUAACUUCUUAAAAUGAUAUUUUAAUAGUAUAUGGAGUAUGUUGAAUGAUAUGAGCUAAGGUUUGUUUUAAAUAGAUACUGUAAAAGAUUUUUAUUCACUGUGAAAUGUAAGCCUUUUAGAAAUUAGUAUUUAAAACCCUAUGUAAGUAUACAAAGGAAGACAUUCAUUAUCUAAUAUAUAGAGAUAUUGUGAAGGACAUGAAGCUUAUUUAAAACAAACACAGUACUUAAAGUAGCCAAGUUAUUGAUGAGUUUUUGUUUGGUUUUGGAUGGUUUCAAAGUUAGUAACACAAAUGAGUUUCAGCAAAACUUUUAGGUCCUAGGAGUUCUGGGGUCUUAUCAUAGUGGAAGAAAGGAUGGGCAGCCAAACAAACGAUGAGAGGAGCCAGGUAGUAAGUGCUGUUGGGACUUUCCUAUCUGUUUUUGAUUUAUUCUUGUUCAUAGCUGCCUGGUUUCCUCCACGGCGCAGGGAACUUAGUGGUUUCUGAAUUUUGCAUUUUGUCAUUUCUGCUCCUUCAAAAGGACUUUCUGCAUAUGAUCCGGUUAUAAAAAUCUCAAGUCAGGAAUCUGAUUGGUCUGGCCUCAGUGGGUUGUCGUCUCCCCGGGGAUUGGGCAGUUAUGGGAACAUGGCAGUGUCUGUCUGGGGGAGUUGGAGAAGGGGUCCCAGCAACAGCCUGAGCAGACACCCACUUCACGGUGGAGCUGGCAUUAAUGUUGAUUCCUGUGGGCCCUGCCUUUGGAGACCUGUGAGUGCCAUGCAUACAAUAGUGUGCCAUGUUCUCUGUGAACGUGAGACUGCCCAGUUUUCCAGGUAGAGCAUCCACAUCUCAUUGUGUGUUUUCAGCAGGGUCAGAGAGACGAUACUGUACUGGAGAAUGAGUGAUCUCCUUUAGGUUCCGGGAUUUAUAUUUGAGCACUGAAAAAAGGAAUAAGGAAACUAGGUUAAAAAUUGUGUGAAUAAUUAUGAAAUGAUCUGUACUGAAUAACAUAAUGGAGCAAUUAAAUUAAAAUAACAUGGAGCAAGGUAUUAGGUGAAACUCACUGAGUAUAGUCCAGCCAACUGUUCAUUCAGGAACUGAUCUUGUAUUAUUUUUUUUUUCCCUUUACUUUGCAGAGGAAGGAGGCAUGUCAAGAAAGACACACAUGCUGGUUAUGGUGGUGCAUGCUUGCAGUCCCAGUGCUAGGGAGGCUGAGGUGGGAGGAUCACUACAAGUUCAAGGCUAACCUCAGCUACAUAGUGAGUUCAAGGCCUGCCUGAACUGCAUAGCGAAACUUUGUCUCAAAAACUCGAAAGAAAGAAAGAAAGACAAACAGAUUAGAAGUUUAUUAUUAGGGAAGUUGUUUUAUCUUUUCUAAAACAUGGGAUUGUGUAUUGAGAAUGCAUUUUCUUCCUAUCAAAUACCUUAACAUGAACUUUAGUUUUCAGAAUGCUUCCCCUGGCAGUAUGAUCUGCUAUCCCUUUAGAAAGACUGUCAGCAAGAAUUGUAAUGAACCAAUGAAAUCUAUAUUCAGCCAGAGCAUCAGUUCUGCAACUAUAUACUUCAGUUUUGUUUUUUUUUUUUUUCGACACAGGGUCUUGCUAUGUAGUCCAAGCUCAUUUUGAACCCACUGUAUAGCCCAACGUAGCCUAAAACUCAUGGCAGUCCUCCUGCCUCAGCCUCCGAGUGCUGGGAUUAUAGGUGUGUGCCACCAUGCCUGGUUAUACUUUGAAAUAGAGCUUUUGGAAUUGAAAAGAAUUCAGGUUACUAGGCAGGAUUGUUUGUGGUCUCACAGAUUAGGUUCAAAUUCUGGCUCCAUCACUUCUGAGCUCUUUGAGCAGGUUAUGUAGCUUUUUAAGCCUGAAUUUAUGUAAUUUUUAAAUGGUGAUAUCGAUGCUUACCACAUAGGGUUAUUCUGAGGGUUAAAUGAGAUAACAUAUUUAAAGGUUCGAACUGUAAUUGACACAUAAUAAUUCAGUAAACCAUUCCUAAAAUGAUAAAAAUUUGACUGUAGUUAGAGCACUAGAUCAGUGUGUCUCCCAAGUGUCGGAGAUGUAAGUCACUUGCAGACAAGCUUCCUGCUCAGUAGGUCUGUUGGGGGUGAGGCCUGAGAUGUGCGUUUUAACGUGGACUCAAGCUUUGCUGACGCUGCUCGUCCAGGAGCAAGGCAGUAGGAGGAGCAGCUUUGCAAGUUAGGAUGAAUACUGAGAAGUUGUCCCCUGAUUAUAUGUGAUGAGAAUGGUGACCCCAGAACAGAAUUAGGAAAGUGAGAGUGAGGGUUGUACAUUGGAAAAGAGUAAAGUAGUUUUGAGGAAAUGUUGACUUGAAGGUGGUGCUGGUGGAUAGUCCAACCGCAGUGUGUCCCUUAAGUCAGCAAGGUGGGAUUAGAGCUCGAGAGCAGGAUUGAGGCUGGGCAGGGAACUGGCACCUACAGCCAUAGAGGUGAGAUUCCUGAGGGGAAUGUGGAAAUAGUGAAGACUCUUGGCGUUGAGGGAAAGACAGAGGAAGAACAGGCAGCAGGAGACAGCUCAGCAAAGAGGCUGGAGAGUCAGAUGUGCUAGAGAGCUUGACGUUGGGGAUGUGCUUUUCCAGAGCAGUUGAUUCAAGCCUGAAGGUUUAAGGAGUGAAUGCGUGACUUAGAGGCAGCAUCUCUUUAUUGGAAGGUUUAGAAGUGGGAAUUGAAAGGUGCCAUUUAGCUUAGGAAUGUCUAGGGAUUUUUCCUUGUCUUGACCUCUUCCUUAUUCAUACCUCCAUUUAUCCUAGCCAGGUUUAUUAUUUCUGUCUUUUCCUAGACUGUUAGUAUAACCUCCUAGCUAAAUUCCAUGUUUGUUUUAUGUACUUUUUUUUUUUUUUUUUGGUGUCACUGAGCCCUAUGAUAGUUGAUUACAAACCAUCAACCCAUUUAUGCUUUUAAGCAAGUAAGUGAAAAUACAGAAGAUGCCUCUUGUCAAGUUCGCAGAUUAUUCGAAUUCCAUAUGUGGACCACUUGGGAAUGUAGAACCCAGUUAAGAACCUUUAGAAGAAUAUGGUGCUUUAGAAAGGAUAUUACUGUGGAGGCUUACUCUGGGAGUUAAGUAAGUUUGUGCAGAUGAUGCUGUAAUUACAAAGAGGUUACAUACUGAGGUUACAUACCCACCCUUAUCACACCUAACUUACCAAGCAUCAUAGCUUAGCCUUGCUGACUUUAAACGUGCUCAGAGCUGGGCAUGUGGUACAUGCUUGUAAUCAAAGCCAAGUGUAACCAUAACCCAAGUGUUAUGGAGAUACUUUUAUGCACAAAUAACUUGAGUAUCAAGAAUGCUAUGGCUGGGGGCAUUAACUAGGAAGAUGUUGGGCUGAGGAUGUGGCUCCGUGGUAGAUGCUAGCUCGGUCAGAGUCCUGGAUUCCGUCCCUAGCAUUGCAAGGGGAAAAGGAGAUACUGAGCAAAGCCAUGAAAGAGGCAAAGGGCUUAGAUAGGAAAGUGCCCAGGGGACAAACAUUGCAGGUCAAGGGACCCACUGGUGCCAAGUCCUGACUUCCAUAAACUGCAAGGAAUCUGUGUGGCCGAAGCAGAGUGAGAGAGGAGCCUGGAAUGGUAGCAAAGGAAGACAAAGAUGGUAACAGGAGCGCGGGUACCAUUGCUUCUGCUUGGGGGACUUUGAGAAGACUCGGGGAAGUGAUGUCAAGGGCCUUGAAAAGUAGGCAGGAUCUCCCUGCUGCAGAAGACAGGAAACAGUGUCUGGGCCUAGGGGCUCAGCCACUGACAAAAGUAAACGGAGCAGAGCAACUGUUCUGCUGUGGCCUUACUGCUCACCGUGGUUUCCUGAACAGUGGCAUCAGCCACCACCCAGGAAGCUGUUAGCAGUGCGGAGUCUUGGGCUUCCCUGCAGGCCUGCUGGAGCAAGCUAUGCUUUUUACUAGAGAGGCGAUUUGUGUGUUUGGAGAGGAAUUGCUGGGGUAAUCUUUGCUUUCCAGCUCCACAUUCCUUGGUUGUGCCCCAGAGAUUGGGGAGGGGGAUUCUGAGCCACUGGGGCACAUUAGCUCUUACUUAGCGUCAUCCAGAACAGCCUGUUUUUAUCUUCCUUGUUUUCAUGAGGGCACUGGAUAUAAUUGGUAGGAGAAAAAAAGGUUCUGUUGCCAAGAAGAUUGCAAACCACAGAAGUAAGUUGUGGGGCAUAUUAAGAUGUGAUUGAAAUAGUUUGAUGCCAUAUUUAAAGUACUAAGCAGUUGAUGACAAAAAACAAACAGUUCUGAAGAGGGACACUAUAACUUACCCUAACUCUCUUUCUAAAGUUAAUAUGUUUGCAGUACAGUUGCAUUCCUCUUGGGGAAUUGGUACAUACACAUACAACAUUUUAAUCAUUUUUUUCUUUCCCUUCCCUUCCCCACCCUCCAUCUCCCAUCACCCCCAUGUCCUUCCCAUCUCCUCCACUCUAAACAGCAAAUGGCACCAUGACCCAGGAGUGCCCUAGUGUGCUCCGUAGUCUCCGAAGUACUUUCUUGCCUUUCCCUUUUGUGUUGGACUUCUCUCUAGUGUCUUGUCCCCUUGUCUCCUCCCAGCUGAUCUCCUGGGUUAGAAAACAUUGUACAAGUGAAGGCCACUGACAUCGAGCCUGCACUCCUACCAUCCAACCUGUUGACUUUUGGACUGCUGACCCUUCAGUCUGCCAGCGUGCCAAAGGGCUGCAGUCCCCAGGUUGGUCAGCCCUAGCCAUGCUCUCAAUUAGGAAAAUUUAAAUUCAGCAUCUUAUAUCAAGUCAUACGUGAUUCGUGGCUCUGAAUUGGACUGUGUGGUCACGGGCCUUGCCCAUCCUUGCAGCACCUUCCACUGGGCAGUGCUUGCUGGGCUAGGACUUCCCAUCCCAAAAACAAAAUAAACUGCAGUCACAACAAAAGUGUCCCUCUGCUCUCCUGGGUCUCACCACGGCUACCAAGCAGCUUCCCUGCUCCCUCCCAAGUUUGUCUCCUGUGAUCUGCAGCUGCCCACUUACCUCUGCCCUUUGUUAGACACUGCUGUCCUCGGUUUCAGCUGUGGUGCCCUCUUCUGCUUCACUGGCAUUUGUUUUUUGGAACCCUGUUGAUUUAGCCUUUGAAUGUUUCAGUGCGCUCUUUCCCACUGGUAGGCAUCUCAGAGGUCCCAGACAGGACUCAUGAUCAUCUCCUACUCCACUCUAUCCACUGCCAUGCCCAAAACUAGUAUUUUCCUCCUCUCAGAAAGUAGGUCACUGCCCCUACACAGGGGCUUAAGCCAAGAGCCCAGGCUAGUGGUGGGGAACCUGUGGCCCUCAUGCUGCAGACCACUUGUUAUCACUGAAAGCUCUAAAAGGUCCACCACCACUGGUGUAGGCCUUAACCUGGAUUCCUCUUUUGUUCGUUGCUUCUUCUCACCCAGGUCUGAGUCUUGCAUCUGAAUAGUCUCCCUGCUUAAGUCCUCUUCUCUUGAGCCCUGUAUUCCUGUAGCAUUGCUCCCCCUAGAUUAACCCUUGCCUCACUUCAGUCCAAAUUGUCCAUAACAGUUACAGAGCAACUAUUCUAAAAGGUGUGUAACAUUGUGUCACUUUCUCAGUUAAACUUCAUGGCUUCUUCCCCUUGCAUUUGGAAUAAAAUCGGGCUCUUCUUUCUGGCUUACAAGAUCUUACUGCUCCGGCCCUGCUCCCCUCUGUGCUCUCACUGGCACACUCUCCCUGCCCCCACCGCCAUUCCUCCCCCACCAGCCACAGUGGAAUAGCCACGCCUGUCUUUUUCUAGUCCUUAAACAAAACAAGCUCAGAGCAGCCCGGAGUGCCUACAUUUAUUUUCCCUUGGUCUGUAUCUAGAACCUUCUUCCCUCAGAUCUUUGAGUCAGCCUUAGUCAUAUUAGUGUCUUAGUUAAAGGAUUGCUUUCUCCGGUGACCUCUGACUUCCUAAUCUAAGGCAGGCCCCUACUAUGUUAGUCUUUUAUUUUUUCCGAGACAGUCUACUUGAGCUGUUUGAGUGUUUCUUAAUUAUCUCCCCCAACUAGAACAUGAAAUCCACAGUGAUCCAGAAUUCAUAAUGUUUACUAGCUGUAUUCUCACACCUAAAGCAGUGCUUUUAUUAGAGUGGUGCUCAACAAAUACCAUAUUAAUGAACGAGUAGAACUGGAACCCUGUACAGUAGGCCUUUGGUGCUCUGCCACUGCACCAUGAGCCCUUCCAGAUUAAGUUUUCAUCAUCAUGUAGUUUAUUUUUGUUACCAUCAAGCACUGUAUUUAGAGAUUUUUUUUUUUUUUUUUGCCAGUGCUUGUGGAGUACGUUAGAAAGUGGGGAAAACUUGCUGCAAGGUGAUGAUAAGAGGUGUGUGGUACCCGCCGCCUGUGUCAAGGAAAGAGCCUCUGUUUCCAGAGCAAGUGGGAACUCUGCCUGGAGGUGAAGCAGGUUCAGAGAGCAAACAGCUUCCCUCCACCACGUCCCAGUGCCAAAGACUCACUGAGUGACUUGUGUGAAGACCAGGGAUGCAGUCACGUGGAAUGAGUGUCCUGCAGUGCUUUUACUGACUUGUUCCUUGUAGUUCAGUCCUUUAAUGGAACCAGGCUUGCCUUUAAAAUUCUGGUGUUCAGAAGUCUGCCACAAGUUAAGUAAGAGUCUCUAGACAUGAUUAAGAAUUGUAACAAUCCUGAUUUCUCCAAUCUUCACUUUUUCUUUGAUGCUUUAUUUCUGCUGGAUCUUUCUGGUGAUGCUUCAUUGCUGUGUGUGUUUGGUUUGUUUGGCCAAGAGCUAUCCCUUUCCCGUGGCCAAUAAGGAUUCUUUGAGUCACGGGGUGAAAGUAUGACCUUCCAGAGAGAGUUGUUUAUCUUUUCCAGUGUUUAGGGGCACUUGGACUGGCCAUCUCCAACUAAAUUCACAGCUGGGAAUUCUGUGGGCUACUUUGUGAUACAAAUUUGGGCUGCAGUCUCAUCAGAGUGGAAUGGGUUGAUAUUUUUGGUGACCCUUAGCCCGAGGGCUUGGCCCUUUUCAUUGUAGCCUGAUGGAAAAAGGGUUUUCUGUUGAAGCCCCCCUUGGGGUGGACCCUGGGCUCCGACUUCCAUCCUUUUCAACCCACUGGGUCAGUAAAGCUCUUAGAGCUGAUGGUGUCUGUCACUGACUUACUGCUUUAUGUCCAGCUUGCACUUUGAUUUGGCAGGGCACUUCUCUCCUACUUCGUUAGAACUUUGCUGCCUGUAAGAACAUGUUCUAAAAAGUGUCUUUGAAUUCAGAAUGUGUACUUCUUUUCAAAGGCACAGUUGAUGUAAUAAUCCUAUCAGCAGAAUUAGAAAUCAGUACCACAGUUUCUUUUUCUGGUGCUGGGGAUGGAACUCCGGGCCUUGGAUAUAUUUGGCAGAUACUCUACCCCUGAGCAGCACCCCCAUAUAGCACCAGAGUUUCUUAAGAGAGUAGAUGACAGGCUGUAAGAAAGAAGGUGAAAGGUCAGAGCCCUGGGGCAAUUCCAGCACCUUUCCCAGGAGUCAGCAGGACCAGAGGAGGAACUAGAGGAAGGAAAGAAACCUCUCUGUCAAGUAGGUGCCAGGCAGUGGGAACCUGAGUUUGUUUUUCCUGGCACAUUUGUGCAGGUAGACCUUACAUGGCUUCUGCAAUUUACCUGUCCCUAGAUCUAAAUGCAUUCAUGUUGUAAUGGUCACUGUGAAUCCUAAUUUCAGAGUGAGACAAGUCAGCUGCCAUCAUGCAGACCUGUAAUCCUGGCUACUAAGAAGGCUGAGGCAGGAGGAUUGCAGGUUCAAGUUUAGCUGAGCAACAUGGAGAGAGUCUGUUUCAGCAAUGAAGCGGAGAGGGUAGGGAGAGAAAGAGUUGGUGACCAUCCAGGUUCAGCAGCCAAUUAUGGCUAAAAGCCAGGUUUCCUGUAGCACAGAUGUGGCUGCCAUGCACUACCAGAAUGAGAGCGAUGGCCAUGGAGUCCUAGGGAGCAGGCCACCACUACCUCCUUUGCAGACAAACGUUGCUGCCCGGCAAAGGAUCUGAGCAACAGAGGAUCUGUGAGCAAUCUAGGGGGAGACAGUUGAGUUUGAAUGGGGCCAUGUAAUUCUUUAGGCAUUGGGUGGUCUUUACGCUGGUGAAGAAGCUGCAAAAAGUAGGGUAGCCACAGGAUAAGCAGCCUCUGCAAAAGCACAGCCCCUUAGAGGGCACGUGGCAUUGUCAGGAGAUUGGUGGAUCUUCUUCAGGAGCCAGUCUGCUUCCGUUCUUUUACUUUUAUCGUUUUAUUGUUUUAUGCAUUUCCAUUCUUAAGGACAUAUUUGGGUUUAAAUUGCUUCUGUUUACACUGUCUCUGGAGACACAACCAUUUAGUAUUAGAAUCAUAUCUGAGAGUUGCUGGAUAAUCUGAUCUGUGCAGUUUGGUGUUACUCGUAAUUCUAAUAAACCUGCUUUUUUUUUUUUUUUUUUUUUUUUUUUUUUGUGGAAGGUGUUCAGUAGGAGGCAACCCAUGAAUGAUGUCUGCAGCACGCCCUGCAUAAAGGCCUUGGCUGUGGGGAAGACCCCCGGGGAGCUAAAUCUCAGCUGUCGCCUGCAUCAUGGGAAGGGGCUGCAUUCACCAAAGGAGGCCCCCUUUGCCCCUGCCCACACAGAGCUGGUGCCUCCUGUGGUAUUCACAGAGCUGCCCUGUGUGCUGGCAGCCCGCAUCACCUGCUUUUCUCAGGUCACUCGCCCAGUGUUUCUCAGGCCAAAUUCUCAAGCGUAGAUAUUUUUUAGGAAGUUCUCAGGAGGUGCUUGGGCCAGAAAGAAAGUGAGAUUUAUAAAGUCCUCUUGCAGAUUUGAAUCUGCUUUAGAAAAUGCAUGCUAAUGCAGUCUUUUUCUGCUGUACACCUAUUUCUGCUUUAAAAUCAGUUUGUGUAAGACAGGCAAGAGGGAAUGUAAUACCAGAUGCGGGAAUCAGUCAAUACACAGCCUUCCGUGAGUUCCUGGCAGGUGGGUACCCACCGGUAGGGGCAGCUAUAGAAUUCAGGGGCUCAGUUAUUCCAUGUGUUACUUCCAUCAAGCAGUCUUCUUUUGUUUUUAAAGCAGGUUGAUACCAGUUUUUACAGUCAGCUGUGGUCCAUGUGACUCAAGUUGUAUUCAGUCCAAAGCGUUUCAUGGCAGGCAGAAUUCUUUUAACAUAAGUAUAGUCAGGAAUUUGUAGUUGCUUGUCUCGUCAGACUACUUGAUCUAUGGAUCAUUCAGAUGAAUCUACUCUGCUCCGGAGAUAUAUGGUGUUAUCUACUGGGUCCAUAAUGACCGUGUAUGUAUUUGCUUUUCAAAGGUUGGAUGUUAUCAUUCUGUGCUUGUGCAGGUUGGCUUGGAGCUUGAUUCUGUAGCUACUGUGUCAUUUUUGUCCCUCAGCCCUGCUCAUUUCAGCUUAGACAGCCAUGCAGGGGAGUAAAUAUUUGACCAGGGAAUGGGGUACCCAUGUCUCUUUCUGUGUAGGUGGUAGAUAACUGGGAAGAAAAAAAAAUGGUGUACUUUUAAUAUUCAGCUCUUGCACCAUAGAAAAAGUAUUUUUUUUUUUUCUAAAGAAGUGAAACUCCUGAGAAUCUUGAAGGAACAAAAGCAGAGCUCUGGGAAAGAAAGGAAAGGUCAUGCUUAUAAACCAAAGCUACCCAGAGCAACUUCCACUUAUGUGGAUGUGCUUUAUUGUGACAGUGGCGACCAUAGCUGACAGUUUUACGGGACCUACGUUACUAUUUGACAUGGAUAUAGACUUUAUAAAGUUAACCCUUAGAUAAAAAUGUGUUUUAAAACUGGACCUUAAGUGACUUAGUUUUCAAAGCUUGAAUUCAAUAGAAAAUUAAAGACCUUUUAGAAAAAAUGAUAAUGUAUACUUAACUUGGAUGAUUAUCUGAGAAUUAUUUCUUAUUCUAUUAUUACAGUACGUAAAAGUAUUAAAUGUUUGGCAGAAAAACAGCAUUCCAAAUAGGCUUUGGUGAAGUAGAUAAUGUUUCACCAUAAAUGACCUACAUGUAAUUUUUUUAUUAAUUUCAAAUUAAAACAUGGAUAUAUCAAUCUUUUAUGUCCUUUUUAGAUUUAAGAAAGUACUUUGUUUCCUUGUGAAAUUUUUCUGCAAGGCUUCUAAGAAUAUUCUGUAUAGAGAAGUAUUUUCAGUAGGAUUGUUUUCCAGUAGUACCUAGAAUGACCAAAUAAUAUUGUCAUCAAUUGAUUGAAGUUCUUUUGCUCAGUUCAGAUGGAAAUCUCAAGUGGGCAAAAUAUAACUCCUUUAACAGCUCUGGGCUUUGAUUGCCAGUAGCCUUUAUUGUAGCUUCUAGCAUCUCCUAGCCAAUGCAGUCAGCUCUUCAGCUACCAAGCUUGUCUCCUUGCUGAGACAAAAUGCCCAACACCCAAAAUGAAGGAGGGAAAGAUCUAUUUAGCUUACAGUUUUUGGAGGUUUCAGUCCAUAGUCAUCUGGCUGCACAGCAGGGUGGCAUGGCACUGGGACAACACUUUAAGACAGCAGCCAGACCCCCCACAAAAAAAGCCUCUUCUCCUCCCCUAUAUUUACACAGGCCACCCCUCCCCACCUGAACCCCUCCUUGCCUUUAGGGCAGGUACAGCACUCACAAAAUCUCUUUGUCCUCCUAUGCAAAGGAGGACCUCCUAUGCAAAGUAACAACCCUUGGCUCCCUGCUAAGUUUCUGUUAAACUUCUAAACUUCUCAAAGUAGACACAAUGUAUCAACCAUAACAGUUCAUACCCACUUUGGCAACUUUCUGGAGCUCUUCCAACAGCUUUGCUGUCUCUCUGGGGUCUUCUGUAGGUUUCCCUGGUCACUGGCACCUGUCAAGGACAUUUGAUGUUGCUGGUCUCUGCAGCCAGUGUCUUUUGGUUGCUGCUGGUCUCCUGGGGCAGUCUCUGUGGGGGCUAGCAUCCUCUAGUGUGUGGUAGUUCUUUUUAAUGCCCACAUUCCCUAGGAUAAAAUUUGCUAGUAGAUUUACAGGACAACUCAAGCAAGGCUUUUUUGGGACCAGUGCAACAUCAGGAUGCAGGUAGCACCCCAAAAGGAGCCCUUCUUUUGCCACCCAAGGGCCGUGAGGGAGGAACCCAGGCCACAUGCACAGUUUUGUGUACUACUUAAGAACUUUUCAAGUGAUGACAUUGUAGAGCUGUCUGGAGGUUACAGGGUAGAAUGGCUGCAGGGCAGAGUCAUCGGGAUUGGUCUCAGAUUCAAGCUGCUGCAGCCAAGGGAGAUACCUCUUGGUGUGGCUGGGGGCACCUACGACAGCCACAGCCUUCAUAGUGAUAACUGUCUUGGCAGAAUUUCAGGAGAAGCCUACUACUGACUGCUCCCUCAUCUCUACGAAAAUGGUGGGAUGAAUCGUGACUGCCGCUACUUUUAAAGUCUCCAAAAGGGCUAGCACAUGUGGAUCACAAACUUUCAGAGCUUUGAGACUUGGGGGCUGUCAGCACCUGUGUUCUUGGCUGCUUCUCAGAGAAGGGACAAGCAGUUCCUAUAGUGUUGGGAAUGGAGGUGGGGUGGUACAGGAAGAACCCUGCCAGUGCUGGGAGGACCCUGUGACUGUUCAUCCCUGCCCCCCAGGAAGCCAGGGGAAGGGGCGUGGCAGCUGCCAGUCAGUUCAUGCCCCUUUCUGGCUGAGGGAAACGGAAGAGUGGUGCUCUGUUUCUUGUUUUUAUCUCAUUAUUUGAGAAUAAGCUUACUUCCAUUUCUGUACCUCCAACAUGAGGGACGAUUUAGGAACUCAUUUCAGUUAUUCUGAUAGCAUGUGGAAUUGUCAUAAUGAGUUAAGCAAAAUGCAUACAUUUACUUACAGUUGUUGGAUACACCAAAUGAGAAGCCCCUAUGUCCCUCAGAAGCCCAAACCCAAACAUGGGUCUUUUGUAAUAAUACAAGUUGGAAGUAAUAAGAGUAAAUGUUCUUGAGUGAGAUAUUUGGGUUAAUGUGAUGUAUCUGCAGUACUGAAAUGUUCCACAUUCAUUACACAUGCUGAUAGAAGUUGGUCUAUUGAUGUGGAGCAGCAGCAAUUGAUAUGUUGAGUGAAACAGAGCCAAUGUGUGUUGAUUGCUUAUAUCUCUUGGGAAAGGGGAGAGAUUAUUAAUGAUUUUUUCACUUUCUACUUAUAUCUUUUUAUAGGUUGAUUUUUUAAAAAAAUGUAUGCAGUCCUAUUAAAACAGGAAAAAUGCAUUCUAAAAUGAGAUGGGUACUGACAAGCAAUAUUUUAUAUCUUGAAUUUAAAGAUGAAAUAAUUCUAUGUUUUGGUUGGUGAAAUAGACAUAUUUGCUUGGUUAUAUUUAUGGGAUUAUUUUUCUUUGGGUAGCCUUUCCUGGAAAUCCUUUGAAUAAAAGACAUGGUAUUGGAAGAAAUGAUUAAUAAAUUAUUUUUAAAGUUGUCACUUGUUGCAAGUUUGGAGGAAACAAAAAUAAAUUGAUAAAACGAUAAACUAGUUUACCUGCAAGUAUCUAAGUUUUUAUUUUGUAUCUCAUAAGUGGAUAAAGUUGAGCAUGUGAUCUCAGUAUAUAAAUUUUUAUUUAUAAAUUUCAUCUGUGUACAAUAUCACAUUUUAUGUUUGUUUCAUAUUACACAUAAAUUUUCACAGAAUGCAUUAAAGAUAAAUACAGCUAAAAACUUUCUCUGGUUAAUGAUUAUUGUUGGUUCUUAUCCAGAUGGUUAUGUGGACUUCAUUUUUUAAAAUGUUGAUGAAUCCUUUGCAGCAAAACAAUCUGGUGUUCUGGUCCUACAUUCAACUUACUUUGCUGUUGUUUUUGAUGUUUUUUGUUUUUCAAAGCCAAGGCCUUGAGUGUGCUAGGCAAGUGCUACAUCACUGAGCUGUACACCCUGUUUAAUUUUAAAAUACAUAAUAGGUAGUAAAUUAUCUCACAAAGCUAAACUAAUCCAAGUGACUGAAGCAUAUUACUGUUUUUAUUAACUAGUGAUUUUCAUAUUCAGAUAAUCUGUCAGUUACUUAAAAAUUUUGUCUAAAAUUUGGCAAAUUUCUAAUUUCUUUGAUAGAAUUAUGUUCUUAUAAAGUAUGCCACAGUUUAUAUUCAUAAGGAUGUAGAUGUGUUUAAAAAUGUUAAAAAACUUUAUAUGUUCAUUGCAAAGUUUAAAAUAGGCUUAAAAUUAGUUAGAAAAGUGGAAGUACUCCAUAAAUAACAAAAGCACAUUUGUUUUCAAAUGCUUUCUCCAUAGUAUGAAUUUCUUUCCAAAAAAGCAGUUGUUUGCUUGCACUUGACUAAAUAACCUUAUUUUUAAAAAAUAUCUGAGUCACAUAUUACGAAUCACCGCCUACAGUCAUAGAGCAGCUUAGAAAAUUUGGAACAAAGUGUAUUUAUGUAGAAGAAAAAAUGUUAAUCAUCCUUAAAACAGUUCUUCUAUAUAUUUUGCCUUAAGGGAAUUAACUAGAAACUUCUGUACAGUGCAGAACGUUUUUGUGGUCUUUUUUGCCCCAUUAUUGUAAAGGUUGUUUCUGUUUUAAUGCUAUAUAGGUAGAAUCUUCCGAAAUAAACUGAACAGAUGACAGAGUGGCCCACUGAUGACCAUGGUUAUAUAAGUGACAUGCACGCAUCUAGUGUGUGAACUUCACUGUGGAUUGCUGAUAGUGAUAAAAGCUGCAUUUCUUAGCUUUAACAGGAAAUUUAUUGUAAGUAGAUAGGUGCUCGAUGUUCUUGUGUCCUCUAGAUCAUCUCACAACUUCCCCAAAAAAGUCACUUAGGAGAUUUUCAGUUACAGUAUGUACGUGAGGGAAAGAGUCGCUGCAGGUUUAUAGUCUUUCGUCAAGUUCUCUUCAUUUUUCAGGUUCCAUUUCCCAAUUAUUAAACAGUAGAGCCAGAUGGUACUGUGGACCACCUCCCCCAUCCUGUUUGAUAAAUUGAAAGAAAAGAAUAACGGACACUCAACAGUACUGUCCACACUAGAAUUUUGUUCUCCUACUGGGAACCAUGCUUGUUACGUAUAUUAAAUUCAUCUACUAAUAGUAUGUUGCUAACUAGCAGCUCCUUGGUUGCAUAGGGGUGGGGGUCUGUCUCUUGUUAUCUUUGUUCCUGAUGACUAAUUUCCUUCUUCAGUCCCUUUACUCUGUUCCUUUGCAUCCCAGCCAUAUGGCCUUGAAGUCUGUAUUGUUCUCUUUUUGUUUCCUAUUGCAGACUCAUGCUUCAUUUAUGAUCAGAAUGUGAAGCAUGCUCACAAUUUCUCAUUUCCUGAGAAGUUGCAUUCUAAGUAUAUCAAGAUGCAAUGUAGAAUCACUGUGAUUCUUUUUAGUGGUAAAGGUAAAGUCCUUAGGUCUACUACCCAAAAGCUUUAAACACUUUUAAAAAUAAAGCAUAGCCAGACAUGGUGGUGUACACUUGUAAUCCCAGCACUUGGGAGACCAAGGCAGGAGGAUCAUUGCAAGUUCGAGAGCAGCCUGGGCUACAGAGUGAGCUCAGGCCAGCCUAAAAUGUACAAUGAAACACUAUCUCAAAAAGUCAAAAAUAAAUAAAUAGAUUUUUAAAAAUCAAGUAUUAGGAAAUACGUAUUUUACACAGUCAUUGUGAAGGAAACUGGCUUUCGAGCUUGAAACCUGAGUCUCUAUUUCUAACCUUCCAUGGCAAAACUGCUUUUCUAGUGGGAAGAUAAAUACUGGUUUAUUUUCAUUCCCUGUUUCUGAGAGAAAUGUGUUAUGAAGGGAAUUUAACAUCAAAAUGAGUGAUCCCAGAAGAUUAAAAGAGGACAUAGGUUAUUGGGUAUACAGAACUAUUUAUUAAUGAAUCUUUCAGAAGCCAAGGCAAAAUGUGACACCAGGUGGUAGAGUGAUACAGAUCAGAUGUGUGGCUUUCUUCCUGUCUGAUUUCUGUGAUGGUCAACCUUGAAUAAGUGAUUCCUUCAAAUAUCAAGCUUUUAGUCUGGCUUGGGGACAAAUUGAAGUCAUUAUUGAAUGCCAAAAGGACAUGCUUUCUAAAAUUGUUGAUGGAACUAUAGGUACCUUGUGUGUGGGUAGUAAAAGACUGUCUUAUUACGUCAAGCGCAAACCUGACAUGCGACCUCAUAAUGAGGGGAAGUUCCAUCUUUCCAGGGGAAAGGUACAGGUAAAACUUGUUGGUUACUUCUGAGAAAAUGCUUAACAAUAAUCCUCAGUGGGAGCCCUCAAAUGCUAAACUUUGGAACGGGAAGACAUUGUGUAGGAAGAGAUACCACACACUUAGCUCUGUGAUAGCAGAAUCUGCACACAGCUUCUAUGUUGUUUACUUAGAAACGAGCGUAUCCCACCCUGCCUCCUUCCUCAAAUAAUCUGUGGUGGCUUUUGGACUGUUUUCCAUUGUCUAAGACACUGACGACUUUCUGGUGCAUGGUCAGUCUGCCAGUGACAAGAGGUUAAGAGUCAAGUGUAGAUCAAUGGCACUUUCAGCCACUCUUUAGCAAUUUUGAGAAAUAUGUGCUUAAGAGAGCUAAUUUGGGGGAAGUUAGAGUUGUGUUUCUUUGGAUUCUGUUCUUUAGUCAUUGGCUAAAGCCCUCAUGGACUAGCUUUAUGCUAAUAGCAGGGUUAGCCACUGUUAUUAUUAUUAUCAUCAUGCUUCACUGUAAUGCUAACAAGAUCAAGAUUAACACAAGUUUAAAGAAAUAAUUGCAAUGAAAUGUCUUCUUGGGAUAAGCAACAACAAGACUUUCCUUUUGCAGGACUCAAACUUUGAAAGGAGUAAGAAGCAUAUUUUGGCCAUAUUCUGUAAUGCACUUAGAAUAAUUUGCUUUUGUGCAUCAGUCUUCUUUGACCUUAAAACACUGCUGAAGAAAAGCUCAAACAGACAGAAAAGUUGUGGGGUGUCUUGGCAACAGCUGUCAGUUUGUGGAAGUUAUGCUUUGUUGGGUCUCUCUCACAUGGUUCUACAUUUUUCUGAGGUUCUACCUUUAUGCAUUUUUUACUUUGCCAAAUCGAAACCAGAUAAAAUUGUAUCUUUUCCUGUCUUGCACACUGAAAUACAUGUGUGCUUCUCUUCUCCAAGGAAUUAGAGUGACAUUGCAGAGCAAUCUGUUUUUGGUUUUCUUUCUUAAUAUUUAUGGCAUACAGGCCUUUGUUAAGUGAAUGCUCAGGUGUAAACUCAGUCAGUGUGUGUUACAAGCAUAUGCAAGGAGUUGUUCCUAGAGGAGAGAAUGGCUGGAUGAAGGGCCUCCUGGAGGUGAGGAGGACCACUGGAAGACUUGAGUGCCAGGGAUGUGCACCUUCUUUAGCUGUGGAAUGUCUUGUAUGGCAGUGGCCCUAAAUUUGAACCUUGAGUUUCAAGGCAUAUAAAAUUCAAAUACAUCGAUAUAUCUGUGUCAGUAUGAGAAAUUUAAAAUAUCAAAAUAUUGCUAACCUCCUUUUGUAACAGUCUCAGAGUAUAAAGCAGAAAAUAGAGCUUGCCUUCUCAAUUGUUGAGUGUCACCUCAACCUGGAAUACCUAAUGGAAAGAAAAUGUGCCUGAUGUCACUUUUUUUAAGACUCUGAAAGGAAUACAGGGAUUUCAAGUCCUCUCCCUUAAUUCAUUCCAGAAGUUUAAUUAGGAUGUAGUUUGUGGAAACUCUUGGGAGAUUAGAUUUCCUUCAGUAGAUAAGAGCAAUUUCCUAAGUACUGAGUUGUCCAAGAAUGUAGUCAAUCUGCUUUUGGGAAUGAUUUUGGGAAUGAUUUUCCUGUUCCUGAAAUUAUUCAAAUAUGUGCUGGUUCAGCAUGUUUUGAAGUUGUUUUCUCCAGUGAUGGACAAGUUGGAUAAACAUUCACAGCGGAGCAGAUUCCCGUGGGCAGAGUUGGAUCCACGCAGCAUUCUUGACACACCAGCUAUGGAUCCAGUCCUGUCCCCCUCACUCAAGAAUGGGUACUGGAAUGGAAAGGAAACUGAUGCCACUUACAGAAUCUCUCUACAUUAUAUGUAAAACAGGAUUUUAAAACCAUAAUUGUUACUGGUAUCAAAUUACAGGUUGAGUACCCCUUACCCAAAAUGCUCAGAACCAGAAAUGUUUCAGGGUUUGGAUUUUUUCAUAUUUUGCAACAUUGAGGUAUCUUGGGGGUGGGACUGAAGUCUGUGCAUGAAAUUCACAUAUGUUUCAUAUACAUUUCAGACACAUAGCCUGAAGGUAAUUGUAUAUUUUUAGUGCACCUUCCUUUUUGACUGUGCCCCAUCAUGAGAGGUCAGGUGUGGAAUUUUUCACUUUUGAUGUCGUGUUGGCACUCAAAAAGGAUUUUGGAGCAUUUGGGAUUUUGAAUUUUCAGAUUAGGGAUGUUCAACCUGUACUAACAGCACAAUACAUAACUUCAUAUUGGGAGUUGAGAGGCCUCUUAGCCGGCCAUUGUUGAGGGACUCCAGGCAUCUAGUGGUCACAGGAUUAAGAACCUUUCAAUUGUUUUAACCUGAGGCUUUGAUUGUCCUGACCAAAAGUUUACAAGGAAAGUUUUCUUUCUAGUGAUUUGCCUUUUUUCUGUGCUUCUUUACCAUUGAUAUUAUUGUUCUGAGAAACAGAGGCCUGAGUUAUCAUGUCCUAGCCCAUUCUAUUUUGCAGUAUUUAAUCUGAUUCGAGAUACCAAAAACAUUGGUUUGAAACAAGGAAUAUCAGGUGAACAGUGUAUAUCUACACUUCACAAAGCUUUUUCUUAAAAAUCUUAUGCCUAUCUCUUAUGCUGUAUAAUUACAAUUUCUAACCCAUAACUUUAAAUGCUCAUAAAUUAAGGCAGACUAAUUUUCAGAAUUAAAGUUCUGUUGAAAUUAUAAACAUCAGAAAUCUUGAAAAAACAUAGACACAGCAGCUGUUCGAUCAUUGAAAUUUAAAUAAGAUUGUCACUGAUAGUGAGGGUUUUUUUCUUUUGCAUCUGUUCCACAAGUGUAAAAAUAAUCUUUCCUGGCCCACUAAAUUUUACUAAGUUGGACCCUUGAUGAAAUAGCCAGAGCCCUGAAGAUGAAGCAGCUGUGUGUAGUAUGCUCGGGUGGGACAGCUGUGGGCACUGUGGAAUGAACAGUGCUCUGAGGAUGUUGUGGGGCACCAGAGGACUUGGCAGGGCAGCAGGACACUAGGAAACAUCAGGGAGAGGCUGUGCAUUCUCCCAGUUUUCAAAGAACUCAAGUGUAGGGUGCAAAUGUUCCCCGUGACAUGUGCCAGAGAUGUCUGAACAGUUGUUAGCAGCUGGAGCUGAUAACAUGUAAUGGGAGGGAACUUCAGGUUCUCUGAUAGGCACCAAUCACGUUUCAGUAAUAUAACUUUUUGAACAAGAUAAGCCAGUAGAAACAAUUUUUUAAAUUUUGAAAAAGUUUAUAAAAUAGAGUAUAAUGAAAUAAAUACUGGUAAAAAGAUAAUGAUAUAUACAUAGGAUAUGAGCUUUGAUGGGGAGGGACAGAUGAGCUUAAACAUUUUAAAAACAAUUUCCUUUGACAAGAGGAGUAUAGGGAGGGCCUACAAGAAAAGAAAGCUAGGGGUCAAGACAGAGGGUACUUAACUAUUGAUGCUCACAGGUGUUGAUACCGGUGGUUAUUAAUAAAAAAAACCUAAUUGAUAAUAUCUUUAAAUUUUUGUAGAUUUAAAUUUUUAUAGUAAGUAUUUAGAGGUAGUGAAAUAGUAACCCGUGUGGAUAAUAAAAAUACAUUUUGGUAAACAUUUUGGGGAGAGGGGAAAUUGCUCUACAUCUAAGGUAUGCCAGGGAUCAUUCAGACAGUUUCUCAUGCAUGCUUGGCUGUAUGCUGAUUAUUGUAGACAGGUGAUAGUGUGGGUGUGUGUGUGUGUGUGUGUGUGUGUGUGUGUGUGUGUGUGUGUGUGUUUAUUCAUUCCCUGGCAGGAGAGCUACCAGACAGCUGGGAAAGGUUAAGAGAAGAACAGCUAGAAGAGGUACAAAACUGUGAGAAGAAAUUAGAGUAAAAAAUGAUCCUGCAUUCUUGAAAGAUAAAGCUGUGAUUAGGAAUCAACAAAAUACAGGCUAAAUAUACUGCUUUAUGAAACCCUCUAGGACUGAACAAAAGAUAGCUGUAGUUGCUAGAGGAGGAGAGGUCAUAAAAAAAAAAAGAUAACUUCUGUAUAGUGGUUUGCAAAGCAGUUUCACCUUGUCAUUUGAGCUUUACACAGAUGAGGAAGAGAAGAAAAUGUUGUUGUUCACAUGUGACAAAUGUGAAGACAGAUGGCUCAGAGAGAGUUAGUGACUUGGCUAGGCUGACCUGGGUCAGGAUCCACACCUGGUUAACUCAGGGCCCUUGCUCCUGCCUGGCCAUAGUGCCAUAUUAGUUAGGCUCUGCACCUGGGGUAAGGCUGUGUGUGUGUCAAGGUUUGUAAGCUGCAGGUGUCACGUAUAUCUUUGUAUCAGGCUCUACAAAUGAAGCAAUAAUGUAAAAUAUAGGGACACUAUUCAGACCUUAAAAGCCAUGAAUCUUGCAGUACUUACAUAAUGGAAGAGUUGAUUUGGGGAGAGCAGUCAGUCCGUCUCAUAGCUUCAAUUAACAUGUCAAUUUAUUCAAUAUAAAGUUCCUUCAUUUUUACCUGUUGUGUACUCUGAUAUGAAGUGGGCUCUUUUUUGUAUCAGGAAUGGCUUCUGCUAGGCAAAAAAGCGCAAAUAUCCAAAAGAUCAGUCUCAUAUGAAAAACUGACCACAGGUAAGGUGGUGAGUGAUUGUAACUGUUUAUUGCCUCACUUGUGGCUGAUGGCAGAAUUUUCAGACAUAGGAGAUGCUAUUUUGAGGAUUAUUGAACCAUCCGUGUCUCUUCAGCUGGUGAGAAUACCACCCAUUUCCACCAAGGGUUAUCAUGGCAUGCUGGCAUUAGAGUACAGUUAGUCUUCUCUCAUAUAGAUUCUAGGAACCAAGUUCAGAGAGUAGUUGAGGCAGGUGAGUGGCAGGAAUGUGUCAUUUGGGCAGGUUUAAUGGAAGGACAGAUACUCGUAGUAUUUUCAAAGCACUUUAUAUCCUUAUCAACUUGUUCAAGCUUAUGCUGCUUCCUUGUUUGCUGAUUUUGUAUGUUAGCCAAAAUAGGAAGUAUCAAGUUGUCAGCACUUUAAAAAAAACUUUUUAGGUUUGUAGACACUGUAAAUAAUAUAUUCACCCAUAAUUUAUUAGAAAUAAAAUGAUCAGAAUGGGUAGUCUAACUUUUAAGUGGCUGAUAUUUUCUAAUAAACACAAGAUGUGCAUACUUGUGUUUGAGAGCUCUUAGUGCUUUCUGGCAAAGAAGUUGGGCAGGCUUCACAGUACACGGACAAAAUGGGUUAAAAAAUAGUAGAAGUGCUAGAAAAGUUUAAUGAUAGGUAAGAUUGGUGCUUUGAUAAAAUUGUUAGAGAACAUUGGAAAAUUUAGCCAAGGUGGGCUGGGGACAGUUCAGAGGCAGAGUGGAUUAGCACAUUCAGUGCCCUUUAUUUGGUCCCCAGCGCGCGCACACACACACACACACACACAACACACACACACUUCUAAGGGUGAUAUACUUCACACAGGCAGUACGUGUGGGUUGUGCAUAAAGUGCCUAGCACAGUGUUUCCUCUUUAAGCAUUACAUCUUUUAAAUUGAUUACAGCACAAAAAUUGGCAGCUGAUGGUGCACGGGCCAAAUCUGUCCUGUUGCCUGUGUUUAUGUGGCCCAUGAGCUAAGAAUUGUGUUUACGUAUGUACAUAAAAAUGAUUUAAAAAGUCAAAGGUGAAUAUUUGAUGACACAUAAAAAUUAUGUGAAAAGCAAAGUACGGUGUUCAUAGGUAAGUUUUAUUGCAUUCCAACUGUACUCAUUUUCCAUCUUCUAGUUGCCUUUGUGCUGAAGCAGCAGAGCUGAGUAGUUGAGACAGCAUCUGUAUUAUUUUACAUUCUCAACAGUGACAUUUGAGGUUUCUAAUUUCAUUAUCUACUUGCCAGUACUUCAUAUUUAUCUUUUUGGUUAUAGUCACCCUACUGGGUUUGAAAGUGCUAUCUCAUUGUGGGCUUGAUUUCCAUUUUCCAACUGACUAGUGAUGUCAGGCAUCUUUUUAUAUGCUGAUUGGUCAUUUUUAACUUCUUUGAGAAAUAGCUGUGUAUUUCACCCACUUUUAAAAUUGGUCUGUCAUUUUAUUAUUGACUUAUAAAAGUUCUUCAUACAUUUGAUAUGCAGAUUCCAUAUCAUGUAUUUGCAAAUAUUUUUCUUUUUCACUUUCUUUAUAUAUUUGUUCAUAGCACUAAAGUUGUACAUUUUGAUAUAGUCCACUUUCUCUGUUAUUGCUUCUUCUUAAUGUCAUAACUAACUAUUGCCUAACCCAAGGACAUAACGAUUUUAGAGGAUUUUUAAAAUAUGUUGUUUAUUCAUUUAUUCUUAGUUCUAUACUUUAUAGCUCGUACUGCCAGGUUUUUUUUUCUUAAUUCAGUCCUUCAAGGAUAAUACGUAUGGGGUACAUACUGCAUAAUAUUCUACAGUAUACAUUAAGAUAGUCAACAGUUACCUGUUGAUGGGUAUAAAGUCUAUUUCCAUUUUUGUUUUUGCCACAAACAAAACUAUAAAACAUUAAUACUUAUGAUUCUAGUAUCAUUACCCCUGCAGGGGAUGUUAUCUAGGGUAGAAUGGGAAGAUUCCUUUAAAAUCUAAGACGGGGUUUGUCUGACAUGAGAAUUCAAGCACUUUAGUCAACUGGUUGGGGAAAAGUCCAAAUUCACUAUAAAAGAACUUUCCAUGCCAUAAAUCAAUUUUAUAGAACUGGAUUGCCCUCAUGAUCUGUUGCUCUCUCAGUAACUUACUUUAAAAAGUAGAACAGACUUGUUUUCCAUGCAGCAGUAGUUGAAGUAACCAUUAUGCCUGCUUUUGUGUGUGUGUGUGUGUGUGUGUGUGUGUGUGUGUACAGUCAGCUGAGAUUGUUUUGCUCGGUUUGGAUGGAAAUAACAAAUAGCAAAGUGCUGUUCUGCUGGCGGCUCUGGGCUUUGAGUGCCGGCAGCUAUCAGCCCUUAGCGUUACAGCUCUGGAUCCUGAGCUCCAGGGGCCUUCUGUUAUUAGUGCUACUGCUGUGGCCUUGAGUAAGAUUGGCUCCUAGUGUUACUGUUCUCUGCUCCUAAGCUCUUUGGAAUCUGAGCUUCUUAUUGUUUUUGUCAGCUUUCUGUAGCUAUUCCAACAGCUUCUGCUGCCUCUUUGGGAUGCCUGGCCUCUGCUGGCUUGCUGCGGUUCUCUAUUGCCAAUCCCUGCCAAUCUCCACAGGUUGUUCUAGUCUCUGCCUCUGGGACUUCUCAGGGCUAAUAGCCCUAUUGUUGUCAACUCUUUUUAAUUAUAUCUGUUCUGCCACAAUACCUGAGAUAAGUACUGUGGGUAGAUUUACAGGAUCACUUGAGCAAGGACUUGUUGGGACCUGUGUUCCAGCACUAAGGGUUAAUACACUGGAGGGAGCCCUACUUACUAACUCAAGGACAAUAAGGGACUUCUGAUUAGAGAGAGGAGCAGAGGGCCACAAUUGUGGAUGUUUUGCAGACCUUUUUGAGGACUUUCACAAUACUUGGAGGACAGGGUCAAGGAAGAGUCAUCAGGCAUGGCUGUAGGGUGAAGUCUUCUGGAAUAGAUCUGUUUCCAGCCUGCUGUGUCCAAGGCAGAUAUCUCCUGGAGCCUACAGGGUGUCCAGAACAGCUAGGUUCAACUUCUGGAGAAGUGGCUGCUUGAUUGACACUUCUAAUGUUUCUGCAAGGAUGGAGUUGAAAUCACUAUGCCAUUGCUUUCCAGGUGUCUCCAGGAGGGCUGCCAUGCUGGCCAUGGCCCACUGGGAUUUGAGGGAUAUCAACAGUGGGCCUGAUCCUUCCUCUCUGUCCUGUCAGUAAUGUUUUCCCAACUGGUCUGUAGGAUAUGGACAAGGCUGUCAGCUGAGCUGAGGUUCCUGUCAAUGUGUCCUGGAAGGUGACCAUGAAAUAACCUCGUGGCUUUGGGAGAACCCUGGUACUGUUUGCCCGGGCUAUCCCUGGGGACAAAUAGUGCCUUGAGGGAGGAGCCUAACAAUGCCAUUAUCUCUUCUGGCUGUCAGAAAGAAAAAGGAAAGGGCUGACCUAGUUUCUUUACUAUCUCAUGAUCAUGCCUCACUGAAAAUAAAUUAGAGAUCAUAUAUAAAGGCAGGUGCACAUUUAGAGCCGUGUGUGUUAAUGUAGGAGCUGACGAGUUCCCUGUAGGAAAGUGGAGUCUGGGCCUUCUCUUAGCUCUGGUUUCUGGCAUUUAAUUUCUUGUAUAUUGUUGAAAAGGGAUAGACAGGGUUAAAAACUGGGGCACCUGAUGUUUUUCAAGUAAUUAUGACCAAAUACAAACAUUAAAAAAUAAAAGUCCAGUAAUUAAAAUUGAGCCAGGCUUGGCGCCACAUGCCUGUAAUCUCAGCACUUGGAGGCUGAGGUAGGAGGUAGGAGGAUCACUGAGAGUUUGAGGCCAGCCUGGGCUACAAAGUAGUUCAAAGCCAACCUGAACUGCAUAAUGAAACCCUGUCUCAAAAAGUGUAAUGUAAUAUUUUUUUUGAGUUGGGGUCUCACUGUGUUGCCCACACUGUUCUCAAAAUUGUGGGCUCAAGUGAUCCUACUGCCUCAGUCUCCUGAGUAACUGGGACUACAAUGCACACUGCCAUGCUGACUGAGUAUAAUUUUAUAACAUUUAUUUGUAAUUUUUUUUUUUUUGAAACAGGGUCUAACUAUGUAGUUCAGGCUGGCCUUGAACUCACUAUGUAGCCAAGGCUGGCCUUGAACUCAUGGCUGUCCUCCUGCCUCAACCUCCCACAUGCUGGAAUUACAGGCCUUUGCUACCAUGCCCAGCUCAAGUAAUGAUAUAAUAGGAAUGAAAACCUUACAGGAGUUUCAGCUGAUAUCCUGUUCCUAUAAAAUCUGAGUAACAUAAUUAAUGGUCAGCUUCUCAUUUAGAAGAGUCAGAGUAACAGAUGAAUGUUUCAGUAUUUUUAAAUUAAGAGCCCUUAGUGGCCUAUCAUAUUGACUCUUCAUUACAGUACACUUAGCUUCCUUUUAAUAAACCUUAAAAUUGGUGCCAUUAUUCAGACUUUAGCUAGAGGAUUGCUUUAGAGUCUUAAUGAAUGAUUGAGAUGCUAAGUUACUAUUUCAGCUUUAUUUUAAACUAUUUUUCUAAUGGCUUUGGGAUCUGUUAUUGCUUGGCAUGAGCCACUAAAGCAAAUAAUUUGUAGGGAACUGACCAGAAAAAGCUAACUUUGAGGGUAUUGUUUUUCUUUUACCUUUUCAUUAAUGGAAACCUUAAAACAUUUCAAAAGUAGGAGGAAUGGUAUAUUCCUUCCCCCAUGUGUGACUUAGCUUCUCAGAACCUGUUUUGUUUCAUUAUUCAUUAUUUGUUUCAUGGCCCUUUACAGCAGCUAGUAGCCUCAUGGGACUACCCAGCACUCGCAUUGUGGCUGCUUUGAAUUGAAAUGUGCUGUGGUGUUAAACACUGCCCCAGAGCCUGUUCCAGCAGCCUGCUCUUCCUCCUUGGAGCUCCUCAGGGAAUUCUUUCUUAGCCCUCAUGUCUACCUCUGUGAAAAUUUCUUUUGCUUCCUGGUAACACUUCUGGAAUUUAUAAUUAUUUGAUGUGUCUACUAAGUUUUGGUCUAACUCAACAUCUUGGUGUGGCAUCUAUGCCCAGCAACAACCUAGUGGACAAACAGCCUGCUUGGAAGGAAUUCUCAAUUCAGCUAGACCCCAUACAUCCUUUUUCACAAAAUGCAUGUGGGCAUAUCAAAGUCUCCUUUAAUAUCCUUCCUGCCUAAAAUCUGUCUAAAGAGAGGUCAUUUAUGUGAAUUUAAUCUCUUGCUUCAAGCUUUCUGUUGUAUUGUGACUUUGGGCCUGUGAACAGCUGGAUUAUGGACAACUGUCAAAUGUCUUAUUCAUGAGGCAUACAUAUAUUAAAUGUGUGUUUGUUUAAAUAAUGAGAUAGCAAGGUGACAGACCCAUAGGUGAAGGCUGAAUAAAAGAUUUUGGUGAGAAACAGACUGGUUCUUCAUAUUUUAGAUAUUAUGACCUAGAUCUGAAAUAUCUCCCCAAUGUCUCAUGUAUUUGGAAGGUGAUUGGGUCAUGGGGGUGUUAUAUUUAUCAGUGGAUUCAUCUGAUGAGUUGAGUGGCUGAAUAUGCUGAUUGGAGGUGAGUCACUACAGGGUGUGAUCUGGGAAGGUCUAUUCUUGUCCCACAGAUUCUCGUUUUUCUCUCUGCUUCCUGACUGCCAUGGGUUGAGCAUCUGCCUUUGGCCUUGCCUUUUCACUGUGUUGUUUCUGCCUUGGAGACAAACUGUGAACUAAAUCCUCUGCAAGGCAAAAUAAACCUCUCCUUCUUUUAAGUUGUGGGUGUUGGGUAUUGUGCCUGAGUGUCAAGAAAGUGACUAAUACAAAGUCUUGGUACUAGAAAAGUAGACCCGUUGCUGUGACUAUACCUUACUUUGUAGUCUACAGCUGGUUUGAGGGAGAAAUUAGGAAAGACUUGGAGAUGCCAACUAGAGAAGUCCCAAAAUCUUAUAAGCCAAGCUCAGAAGACUAGAAUGCUGAUCAGUAUGCAGCAGUAAAAACCAAGCUCAGGAGGUUUCAUUUGGGAACAAGGACUCCACUGCUAGUUGGACUAGAGGCCAUGUGUGUUAUACUCUGGAAGAGAAUUUGUCUUCUUUUGCCCAUGUUCCGAGACUUUGUGGAAGACUGACAUUAACAGUGGCAGAGGAAACAGUGAUAUGGUGGGGAAAUUUCAAAGUAGCCCAGCAUGCAGGCUGUAGCAUGGGAAUUCUUACUGGUUUUAGCCAGAUGGAUAGUGAGAAUCAAGAGUACAAAGUAGAUGUGAAAAGUUUGCAGUUUCAUCAGAGAGAAACAAAGGAGAGCAUAGCUGAAAAGAUUACCAUUAAAAACAAGCCAAGAAUUUUGUAUCAGGAUAGUUUUUAAAAAGUCCUGAAGUCAUCUAGAAAUUGAGCAGACUCCACAUUUCACAAGCUUAAGAGUGCAAGACUAAUAAAUGUUUUAUUUGAGAAGAGAGGUCUGGUGACACCUGUUCAUUCAGGGCCUCCUAGAGAAAUGUAGUUUCAACUUUAGGUGUCCAGGUAUUUAGAGGCUGCGGCAGUCAUGAUCCAAGGGGGCCCAGCUCCUGCUCAAGCUGGCAGCCAACCUUGGCAUCAUUCACAUGGUGUUGGUUUUUCAGACAUACAGAAUAUAAGAGCUAUGGGGUUGCAGAGGCUUCCACACAAGUAUCAGAAGGCUAAGAAACUAAGAUAGGGGAAAAGAGAAAGGAUAGAAGGGAAAAGAAAAAAAAUGCAAGUUAGUUAUACCGUUAGUGUCACUUAGUUCACUGAAUAGGAAUGGUUGUGCUAAUAUUGAUUGAAGAAAUUUUUAUGCCCAUAUUUUGUACUUGAGUGACUAAAGAUAAUGUUGUGUAAUUUAUCAACAGUUGUUAUUUUUUCAUUAUUUUGUUGUGAAAAUUUGUUUUAACCUUUUCUUCUUAAUAUUAACAAAUAAAGUAAUAAAUUUAAUAUUUAAAAAAAACCUAUCAGAAGGCCUCACAGGCCAGGCAAAAGUAUCAUAAUCCUUUCCAGGAGCACAUGAGAGGGUAGUAUGUGCAGCUAUGAGGGCGAAGCAAAAGGUACAAUAGGAACCUCAAGAAUUUAGAGAUUCCAGGAAUGUGGAAUGUGUACUGAGGAUGGCUAUAGCAGUAAGCAGAACUAACCCAAGAGAUUGGCCAUGUGGGGUGCAACCCGCCAAGCCAUAGGAUCAGGGCUGCCCAAGCCCUUGGAAGUCACUUCCCAGCCUGCCUUGGAUACUAGAUGUGCUGGAUUAAAUGUUUGCCCUGCUAACUUUCGAUCUUGCUUUUGUCCAAUUUCUGUUUAUUCCCCUCAAGGGGAAUCAUAUUAUCAGUUGAGAGGAUGUAUCAUUACCACAAAAUUUUGCUGAUGCCAGUGUUUAAAGGAAGAGAAUACAUUUUGUUUAAAUUAGGUACAAUCAUAACUUUGCUAUUACUGCUACUUGGUAUAAAGAUUUUUAUCAACCAAAAUAAAAUUCAAUGAAACAAAACUACGUAGUACCUGGACCACAGUUUUGUUUGUUAGUUUUGAGACAUGGCCUCACUAAGGUGUUCAGGCUGGCCUUGAAUUCCUGGGCUUAAGCAGUUUUCCUGCAUCAGCCUCUAAAAUAGAUGCAUGCCACCGCACUGGGCUGAAUCGAACCUUAGUUUUGAGCCUGUGCUCUUCAUGUAAUAAUACAUUUGAAAAAUGCUUUACUUUGAACCUUAGGAAGAUAAGAAAAAGGGACAGCCUGAAGAAGAAAAGGAAGCUUCCUGCACAGCUGCCACCACAGAGCGUGGAAGUGGAGUAGAGAUCAUGAGGGUGAAGUGGUUUGUUUGCCCACUUCCCUAUGAGUGGUGGUUGGGAAACACUAACCAGCAUUCCCCAAGUAUUUCAUAAUAGAUAAUGCACAACAAAUUGUCUUGUUCCACCAAAAUAUAAUUCAUGUUUCAAGUUGGGAAAUACUCAAAAAAUGUGUCCGAGGGCGAUAAACAGGAGUUAGUGAGGUGUUAACACUUCUGGCCUUUUCACUACUGAACAUUCUGCAGAGUGGACGUGACUGUGUUGGUGCAGUGUGGUUUUCAUGUCAUAAAGAAAUUCAAGGCCCUGGUCGCUGGAGGAAACCAUUUGGCUUCUUCAAGAGACUUUUCAUUACAGACACUUCCUAUUUAUUGUUUCUUCUCUGUGUUCCUAACGUGUCAGGUAACACUUCUAUGAUAAAAUUUCAUUUGCUGUCUUACUGUGAGCAAGUAUUAAUGUAGUUAUUUCUAAUAGUGCAAUGAUGAAGAUUGUCUGAAUAAUAAACAGUGCUAGCUAUAAGGCUAAAGGACCAGAAAGAUGUUACAUACGAAUGAUGACCGAGCUAUUCCGAGCUAUUUUGUUUUAAGGCAAUUUAAAUAAGUUAUUUUUGGUUAAUGACUAUAUCAGCUACCUUCUAGAUAUGUCAGCUGUCCGUGAACUGUAAUUGGAAAUCUCUUGGUAAACCAAAACUUCAUGGUAGUCUACUUAAAUCUUUUAGUGCUAACAGGAAUCUAUAAUUAUAAAAUUUUAUUUUCAGUAAAUAUUUCCACCUCUUCUUAGCUGAGACCAAGAAUAAACACUUGGUAUGUAUAACUGGAUGACUCAAAGAAUGAACUUGGAGUAUUGAUAACAACCAGUCUCUCUCUCUCUCUCUCUCUCUCUCUCUCUCUCUCUCUCUCUCUCUCUCUCUCUCUCUCUGCUCUCUCUCUCUCUCUGCUCUUUUUGAUCACCAUUACAUAGUCAUUUGGAGUAGAGGUGUGUAGCCAGUGUGGAAAAUGCUUUUGGAGGAAGGAGUCACCAAAAGAAAGUGACAUAAGACCAAAAAAAGGGUUUAUUAUAGUUAUUGACAUUGCUAUAAGGGCAAGCCAGUGCUUUGUAAAUACACACCACAUGCAGAUAUUAGGGACGGUGGAAGUCUGAGUCUCCACGUUUACAUGUCCAGUCAUUAGCGUGCAUGCAGUAGAUAGGGCACCAAGUUAGAAACAGGAAGAGGCAGCAGAAGAAGGAUGAGGUUCUGGGCACAGCCCAGAGGACAGAGUGGAGAAGCGUUCCUGCACAGCCUGUUUCUGAGGAAAACAAGUCCAUCUUUCAGUGGCUGAAGUAACUUUUCGUCUGGCUGUAAUAUUCUUCUGGAUGACUCUGUGAAAUCUAUAAAACAAAUUUAAAGAAAACUCUUUUCUGUUUGUGGGACUGUGUAAUCAGCCCAUAUUAAUUAAUGCCAUGCAAUAUAUUACUGAGGAAAAGGAUUAAACACUAGUAUGAAUAAAAAUAGUCUCAUUGUUCUCCCUGGGGUAAAAUUAUAAGGAUUGUCAGUCAUCCUGCUUGGGGGUCUAGUUUGUUAUUGGCUGGUUUGGGAACAAUGGUUUCUAUGUUCCCAUUACAUAAUAGAGCGCCAUUACGUGAAGAGAGGGAUUUUUCCCCUUUUCUCACAUAGUCUGGUGUAAGGAGCUAUAGGAACAAAAAAAGAAAUUACAGUUGUUUGGAUAUUACAUCUAGAAUUCCCAAAGGAAUUAUCACUGUAUCCAUCUCCUAGACAUGAAAUGUUCCUUUCAUUUCCUCUCACCCUUCCUCCUCGCCCACCCCUCUCGGGUAGGUGCUCACAGAUUUGGCUGGAUUUCUCCGAGUCCUCACACACAUUAUCAGGUGUCCCUUUGAUAUGAUGCAUAUUUUCAAAACUUGACAUUGAGAAUAUGCAUCUAUCAGAAACUGAAAUGAGCAUGUUUUAAAGGUUAAAUCAUAGAGGAAAAGAAUCUCUUUUUCCAUCUUGUAAUUCUCUGGAAGGAGACGUGAAGGUGUAAGCAGUUCGCUGUCCUGCGCAGCCUGUUGGAGUCCAGCUGUUUUCCAGUUCUGUUCCCCGAGCAGCAGUGCGUGCCUCUCCAGAGUGCUGGAGCUUUGUACUACUUCUGGUCUAGUGGCACUAGGUGUGUUGGGGCAUAGGCUUCUUUUUUCUUUUAACAGCUGUGUGCUCUUGGCUGGUCUGUAUCUUUUUAUUGGAACAAGAACUACAAGGAGUCUUUCUGGAGGAAGAGGCUGGCCUAUGCCUUACUUGCAUUUUGUUGUUAGGUUCUGAGUACAGGUAAAAUAGAGCCACGUAUUUUUUAAUAGUUUUGACUUAAGUCAGAAAUAUUGGUUGCCAGAAGAAAUUAUUGCACAUUAACACAUAUUAUAUUACUAUUUGAUAAUUUAUUCCUCCCAGUAGUGUUAAUUCAAGCAUUUUUAUGUCAUUAAUGGUAAUGGACCUGCCUAUUUCAUUUUUUUAAAAAAAGGUAGUUUCUGUAUAUUUAGCCAUAAAAACAUUCUUGGAGGAAACAGACUGCCUGUGUGUGUGUGCGCGCUCGCGCAAAUUCCAAGUAAGUGUGGGAAUUUGGGCAAUUAAUGUUGAGAUCUCUCUCAUCUCAGUGGCCUUUUUUCAGGAAAGCCUACCUCAGCCCAAAGAUGUGGUUGCACCUGCGUUCCCUCUGUAAUGCCCAGCACUCUUGUGUUUGCCCACACAGCUCCAUGUGGCUCCAGCUGGGUCACCUUGCCUAUUUGUGGUUUCUCCAGUGUACCCACACACAGGGCUCCACUGUUCAGCUGCACAUCCCAGUGUAGUUGUAAGGAAUCAGUGAGAUGGCUUGGGUAAAGCCCUCAGAAUGGCAACUGACCAGAGGGAGUGAUCGUUUGAUACCAGCUUUUAUUAAAUAUUAGUCAUGUAUUUGUCUCCACUUGGAAAAGACUGGUAUAGUUAAAUUUUGUUAGCUCUUUCUUUCAUUUUUCUCUAGUUACAUUCCUUUCUAUAACUGUGUUUCCAAAGGCAUUUAAUAGUUUAUAAAUUAGCCAUCUUGAUAAUAUGAUAGACUCAUCUUUUUGUUUCAUAGAUGUGUGAGUUUGCAUAUAUAUAAAUGCAUAUGUGUAUGUGUGUACUCGCUGGAUCUUCACCAAAAAUGACUGCAAACACAAGUGUUGACCAGGGUCUGCUAGUCUUAGUAGAGGGAAAGGUGUUCCUAAAACAGCCCCAGUUCCCAGAGGCCCAGUAUCAUUUUGCUGGCAUUGUGACUUCUCUGCUGUCUCUUAUUUUGAACUAGUUCAUUUCAGUAGCUAACUGCAAUCAAAUGAUGGUUUCCAGUAUAACAUAUUUAUAUUGCCAUUUUUUAAAUGAACAGCUAUAAUUAUGUCAGCAUCCUUAACAAGAGUUUUUAGUAGAAAACCUUAAGAAUUUUAAGAUUAAUGAUAAAUAUUGAGUUGUGGUAAUAUCUCAAGCAAUAGUAUUUUAGCAGAUUCCUUUGAUAUGCAGUGAACUAGUUUUUAGAGAAAUAAAAAGUGUGUUCUUACUAAUUUAGCUUUCAAAUUAUAUAAACAAUACAGUCUCAUAGAUAGUGCAGAGACUAUAGAUGAGAAAGCAUUUAAUAUUACAGUUUAAAAAUUAAAAGAAAAAAUGUGCAGCCAUUGUUAAUUGCAUGUCUUAGUCUCUAAAACAGAUGCUGGUCCAUGGUACAUAUGCAGUAAAUGAUUGUUGAAUAAAAAGAUGAAAAAGUAAUAUACUUUGUAGUGGACACCCUGCAGAAGAAAGAGCACAGCUGCUUACAUCUGGGAGAAACUCAUCCGUCAAGUAGUGUAGGUAUAUAUUUGGCAAAAUUAGUUUUAAGUUGUGUAUAUUGUUGUGAUUAUUAAAGGACUACACUAAGAAACCCACUAGGUCAUUGUAGUGUUGGAAAGUAAUUUAUGUCUCGCUGCUUGCUAAGGUCUUAGUAAACAGCACUGAGAUGCUGGUAAGUGGCAUUGAAAUGGCCAGCACAGCCUCCCUUUUGGUAGUGUUGGCCAUAAGUCAAAUACAUUUUUUUUACUACGUGUCUGCAAAUAAACAAAUGUACAUGUUAGAAGUCAGGAAACUAUUAAUAUUUCCCACACAUACAGAUUAUUUGGUAAAAAUUUUAAAAGUGAAUACACUGAACCUUCCACACCUGCACUGCUUCAGUACCUGUGUCAAGAACCUGGCAAGUUGAAGACCACUUGGUUCUCCAAGUGUGAGCUGCUCCUCCUAGGUACCCCAGCUUUAAUCCUCGCGUCCAUGCUUUGGCUUUGCACACUAGCCUUGCUCUCUAGCUCCAUGAAGAGGAGUUAACAAAGGAACAAUUCUGCUUUUGACUCCUCCUUUUGUAGCUUAUAUAUAUUAUUAUCAACUAGUUGCUAGUUGGUUUGUUAUUAUCAACUAGCAACAAGAGAAGGAUUGUCAAAACCAGGAGUGUUAUUAAAAAUGAAACAUUAAAAUAGAUAAUUGAGUAACAGAAGUGAGACAAAUAUAUCCCAACAUUUGCUAUUAUUUCUGUUACUCUGGUUUUUGUUUCUUUUUUUAACAAAAACAACCCAGCCAGGCUUCAAGAGAAGUAAAUAGUGCUUAUAUAAUUUCUGUUAGAGUUUAUUUACAAUUUAAUAUUGCUGAUAGGAUGUGUAUUAAAAAGGAAAUUAAUUACCUCAUUGAUACACAUGUGUGAUAUUUCACUUUAUGGGUCAUAAAGAAUUCUGUAUACUAGUUUAGAAGAACAGCUCGUGCUUAUAACAUUGAAUUUUUGGGAAAAUGCAUUUUGAGUUCCAAAUAAUAAGCUUAGAAAUUCACUUUCAAAACACAGCCCAACUGUUGAGAUACCUUUGAAACAGCUCAAUUGGAAAGCCGAUGAAAGGCUUCUAUUUGGUAUCCUGAUAAAAUAUAGUCUGGAAACAUCUAGUUCCUCCAGCUUAGCUUUUUUUCUAACUAACCCAGAAAGGUCUUAGUUUUCUUUUCAAAUCAACCUGCUGUCUCUUCAGUUGAUGAUAGUUUGGAAUGGAAAUGCCUACUGAGAAACUUUUCCAGGAUCUUUUAGAAUUUCCAAGCAAGAAUUUUUUUGAGGACCAUUUUAAAAAAUAUUAUUUGUAAGUCCACAGAUAAGUUAAGAAUUUUCCACACUGAAGAGUCAUGAUCAGUUCUGAAAGCAUGGCCUAUUUCUGAAUAAUUUCUGAAGGAGUUGUAAACUGCUAUUCAACAUUUUUCUUCAAUGUUCCUUUCGGUAGGUAUUAAUCUUUGGGGAAAUCUGUCAGACGUUUUCUAGCUGAGAAAAAAUAAAGGUCAAAGAUUUACUUUCUAAAAGAAUUUUUUAAGUUUGGUUACUUUGGAUGUGAAAAAAAAUGCCCCCCAUGGAUUGUGGCAUGAGAAACUUCAUUUGUUAGGUGUUCAUGAAAUGUUUUAUGACCACUGAUUUUUUAAAUAUCCUCAAUUUGUUGAAGAAUAAGCAAAACCUCAAGGUGUGACUUUCCUACUUCAGUCUUUUGGGUGAAAACAACACACUCAAAGCCAAGGGGAUUAUAGUGGAAUAUUCAGGCGUUUGCUACUGUGAUUAUAAGUUGGUCCUGUAUAAAAUCUUUGUGCAGUAUUUCACGAGUGGUGUGCUGUGUUUGAAUACAAAAUAUCAAAACUUGCUGGUUACUCGUUUUUUCAUUUUCAUUUUCACGGUGCCAAUGUUACUAAGUAUUAAUAUUGUCAGUAUUACUAAAAGUGAGUUUUACCGAAGUAAGUAGUGAAUGGGUUUACCUGUCUUGCCUUCUGCUUCUCCCCACCCCUUCUUUUCCUUUUCCUCCUCUUUCCCCUUGUCUUGUGACCCAAGGCUCGUGCACACUGAGCAGGUACUUUACCACAGAGCCGCACCCUAGCUCCUCACCUCACUGGCCGUGUCCUUUUCAUGUGUGUCCCACAGAUUGUCUCCAGCCCGUGACUGAGUUUCUUGUAGAGACAGAAACGUUGCCCCCUCUUUGAUGGUUAAUAUUCAUUGUUGCUUAAUAUUCUAGUGCAGCGGUGAACUUUUACACAGGUAAUGGGAAAAUGCAGUUUAUGUGGUAUGAGGUAGGACUUGUCACAUGGAGGUGACUUGCAGAGAAACAGUUUCUGAUGAGUUCUAGAGAAGAAAACGGUUGCUCUGAGCAGCAGUUGGGGGAGUAUUGUGCUGAAAACAGCCGCAGGUGAGGUUUGUGCAGGCUGCAGGCACAGGCCAGCUGCACGAUGUUGCUCAGAUGGCUGUGCUCCCCUGGGUGUUUGGAAUUGCCUUCUGAGGAGGAUUUUAUGAGCUGUGCCUUGGUUCUUCUUUACAGUUUGGUUAUAUCUUUCAGAUUGAUAAUUUUCCAAAGCAGCCUUCCUAAAUCAGUUUCUUACUGCUGCAUAAAAAACUGUUCUUUCUUUUGGUGAAAAAGAGGCUUUGAAAGGUUGUGGUUUCACUUCGGAGUAUUGUAGGUAGGUCUGCUCCUGCAUGGUGUUUACUUGGCCCCCUGAAAAACGGUGGUUGAUCAGCAGGAAGUUGUAUUUUAAAGCUAUUAUACCUUACAGCAGUUUUCACAUGUUUAUUUUUAAAUUCAUGGUGAAAAUGUGUGUAUUAUAUUCUGUGCUUCUCUAUGUACCCCGAGUAAGAGGGUUACUAAGAAACAAGGGGAGUAAUGAAAGUAGCAUAGCACAGAAUCGGACUCUCGGAAUUUGGGGGGAAUAAAUAAAUGUGUUCAGUGGGUAGUUGUUUUCUUGAAGAUACUCUUUUGGUUUUUUGAGGUGGGGUCUUGCUGUGUAGUUCAGCCUGGCCUUUAGCUUACUAUGUAGUUCAGGCCAGCCUAGAAUUCAUGGCGAUCCUCUUGCCUCAGCCUCCUGAAGAAUUACAGGCAAAAUACCACCACACUCAGCUAUUGAAGAUAUAUAAUCAACUUUUUUUAAUUUUAAAGAGAAAAAAAUCAAGAACAAGCAAACAAAAAACAAGUAAAAAGAUGACAGCAACAAAAAACAAUAGUGAUACAGGAUUCCAAAUCAACAUGAUAGGAAUUUAACAACAUUGCAUAAUAUUACCUUCAAAAUAGUUGCUCAGGUUACCAGAUACAGGCCUGCAACAUUGAUCAAACAAUAUCAUUUCCCUUUGAGCAGUUUCCUUCCCUUUUACUAUAUCUUUUGUAACUUUUGGAUCUUAUUUACUCUUUCAGUUUCUUACACUAUGAGACAAUAUGGUGUUUACACGUGCAAGUCUGAUUUAUUUCACUUAUAAGUAUGGUUUCUAGUUGCAUCCAUUUACCUAUAAAAGCCAUGAGUUUAUCAUUCUUUAUGACUAAAUAAUAUUCCAUUGUACAAAAGUAUUGCAUUUUUUUUUAUCUAUUCCUAAUUUGAUGGGCAUUAACCAACCUUUAUUUGGUCAAACUUAUUAGAAAUCUAUCUCAAAUAUUUUACAGGUUGUUAUAUGUUUCUAUACUCUUUCUGGAAAGUGGUAUAGAUGUAGUUAUCAGAAUUUAAAAUAUAUAGCUUUUGACUCCACAAGCCUACUUUUGAUAACUCAUCCUACAGAAAUGAAGCACUAGUUAGUGUAAGUAAAGGGGAGUGUGUUUUUUAUAUAUAUAUAUAUAUAUAUAUACAUAUAUAUAUAUAUAUAUACACGUGUAUAUUUAUUGCCUUAUUGCAUGUAGUAUCAAAGCAUUGGAAUCACUGUGAAUGACUUUCAGUAGUUAAAUGGCCAAAUAAAUUAGUGUGUUUAUACCCUGGAAUGAUUAAAACUGAAUUAGACCAGUUGAAUAGGAAGGAGGCUUGUGUGUGUGUCAUACAAUUUCAAAUUUUUACAACGUUUCUUUGUUGCUUUCAUUGUCAUAUGUACCAGCCAGGCUGUCUGUGAGGUCGGAGAGUGGCAAGCAGAUUAGGGGAAAAAGUAAGAUGGUAAAAACAGACAUUGUAGAGCCAGCAUUUUUAUGUAAAGGUAUAUAUUUUGUAUAUUUGUAUAUGAAUGUACCAAGUCUAUGCAUAAACACAUAAAUGUAAAAAUGAUCAGAAUGUUAAGUGAUUUCAUAGGUAUUGUGAUUAUAGCAAUGUUUUAUAAAUUUUCCCCAUGUGAAUUUCUAAGAAUCUUAUUUGUAUAAUGUGAAAGAAAAAACUUCAUGGAGGAGGGCAAAAACACAAUUAUGUCUAAUUUUCAAUAUUGUGUUGUUAGAAUUCUGAUAUAAACCUCAAAUAUGAACCUGUGUACCAAUACAGAAUUGACUUUACAAAUGUAGUAUGCUUCAAGACCUAGAAAAUGGCUGUGGCCGUGUGGUAGUAGUUUGCAUUUAAAUAAUAAGAUUAACGGUUUCUUUUGUGAUUACUUAACAACAUUACUUAUUAGUAUUGAAAGAGUAAGAUAGCUCAGAACUGUUGAGGUUUUUGUCUGUAAGCAAACCAAAAAUAUGAAUAUUUAGCUGUAUAAAAAUGAAAAUUUACUAUGGUGCCUACCAUAAGUAAAAACUUCUAAAAAUGGUGAAAAUUGCCAACAUAAAGAUUCUGUUGUAUAUUUGAUCAACAAGAAAAGACAGUUCUGUAGAAAAUGAGUAAAGAAACAGGACAUGACAUGACCAGGGGAAAAAAAGCACAGAUAAAUAUAAAUAGCCAGUAUGAACAGCAGUAAUGAAUAUAAAUUAAAACACCUGUUAAUCAGGCUGAUGAAAUCAGAACAGCAGCUGGGAAUACAUGGACCUCAAAAUACAGUGCACAUUCUUUAUCCUUAUUUCUGCUUUUCUAGGAGUUUAUCUUGAUUUAACUAAUUAGAAACAUCUUUGUAAAAGUGUGUAUAUAGUGAUGUUUUAUCAUGAAAUUCUUUAUAAUGACCAAAGUGAAGGAAAACUAAGUAAAUAAUGAUAAUAGCAAAUUAACACAUAUUUAUAUAAUUCAGCCCUAUGUAAUUAUAAAUCAUGAUACAAUUGUGUAUUUGUAAGAAAAUUAGUGAAAAAUUCCAAUAAUAUGUAAAGAAUAGAUUCCAUUUCUGUAGAAAUAAAUUGUAGAGCAUUGCACAAAUAAACGUCUAAAGAGACUAUAUAUCAAACAUUUAUGUUGACUAUCCCAAAAUGUGGAAUGAUUUUUCUUUCCUUUUCUGAGCAUUGUUUUAGCAUUCUAGUAGAAAUCACAGACUCUAAUGAAAUGUGCUAAUAUACAAAUAUGCUUCUUGUUUUAUAAAUAUGUCAUUUUUUCACUUUCUAUUGUGAAAGUGUAUUUUAUAAUUAGAAAAAUUCACUUUGGUUACGUGAUACAUUAAGGAAAAACUAAUAAACAAACAAUAAUUACAUGGAGCUGAGUGUGGUAGUGCACAUCUGUAAUCCCAGAUACUUGGGAAGCUAAAGCAAGAGGUUCAAAAAUUCAAGGAAGCUUGCCUGGGAUACACAGCAACUUAAAGAGACCCUUUCUCAAUAAAAUUAAAAGAAAAAAACAGAAGGCUAGGGAAAUAACUCUGAUAGAACGCUUCCCUCGCAUGUACAUGUCCUGGAUUCAAACCCUAGAACUGAAAAGAAAAACACAAACAAAAACCACAUGGAAGCCAGGCAAGGUGACAGACAUCUGCAGAUCCCAGCUAUUCAGAAGGCUGAGGCAGGAGGAUUACAAGUUCAGUCCUAGCCUGGACAAUUUAACAAGACCUUGUCUCCCAGUGAAAAUUUAAAAAGGGCUGGAGAUUUAGCUCAGGUGGUAGAGCACUUUGGUUCAGUUUUCAAUUCUGAAGGUGAAACAAUAAAAUAAAACACACACAUGGAAAUUAUACAUAAAAGAGUUCUUCUGUGUUAAGAGGGGAAGAGGGAGAGCAAGGUGCUGAACAUUUGUUAGGCACUAAUUAUGUGCCAGACUUGCACGUACAUUAUUUCAACCUAGCAUUUAUUUACUAAUUUAGCAAAAAUACAUUGAGUGUACGGUGUUAUGGUGAGAAUAAAACGACACCUUUACAGACAAGGAAAUGGUCUGUGAAAUCUGUCCGAAAUUAACAGCGAGGCCAGUGGAAAGCCAGUGGAUUUAAAUCCACUUAGAAUUGUGAGGAUCCUCUCAGUGUAGCACUGCUAUGAAACUCAAAUGGCUGAUCUAACAGUGGUCACCAGGCUGUCAGUAGGAAGAGCAGAAUCCAAAAGAUUAUGCAUCCUAGUUCCAGAAGUCCAGAGGGUGGGAGUUCAUCGGUGCCUCCCAUGGCUGAUUCCACACCAACACACCCAGGAUGACGCAGAACUUGCCUGGGGACUGCAUUGCUCAUCUCUAGCCUAAGCAGAUGGUGUCUCCCUUCCAAAGCAGGCUUGGCGUUCCCUGGCUCCUGCUAGCUUGGUCGGGUGUGUUCUCUCCAGUUCUUUGAGUCCCUGUGAGUUUUUAAGCUGUGCCAGUGGUCGUCUAACUAAAGGCUCCUUUUAUAGUGCUUGAUUUCACAUCUUCUGUGAGAUUCAAGGUAGCUUAAGAGUGUUUUUCUGUCAGUAGAACAGUGGUGUUCCCUGCAUAUUAAAGGGCAGCGCUGAACACAGAAGGCUGGAACUCCUCGUUACAUGCAAAACAUUUUCAGUGGAAUCACUUGGCACCCACAGAAACAUCAGAUGGAGAUUUGGAAGCCUCACAGCACUACAUUUCAGAAACGUUAUUAAACAUUCAGCAAAAUCUUCCUGAAACACUGAGCCCAAACCAGAGAGGAAACUUUUCUCAUCUUGCAAAAAGGUGCUUGGUUCUUUGAAUUCUGCUGAGGAAUGGGGCAAAGAGAAUUUGAAUUGUAGGGAGACAAAUAGAUGCAUGUGGUCCAGUAGAGGAAUGGAGGCCUGUAUUAAAAAUAGAAAUUGUUGGACUUAAAAAUGUGGUUAGUGGGACAGGAAAGUGGGCGCAUGGUGAGAUUAGUGAUGCAGAAUCCAGUACUGAAGGCGGCCAGGGCUCCCCUUCUGCUUUCUGCAGUGUAUGUGUGUGUAUUUAAAUUUCCUUCUUGUCAUUCUUUCCACCCAGCUUCUGAGUUGGUUUUCUAAUAAAUGGCCAAGACUGUCAUUUCAAUGAGGUAUCUCACAGAUUGUGAGAUUCAUGUUGGUGUCUAAUUUCAGAGGAUGCUUUCCUUGUCACCUUUCCUGUCCCCAUUUUUCAGUAUUUGUCUUUCCUCACGGAGACUUGUGUUCUAAUUUUCACCAUCUUCUCAUUGAUCUUUCAUCUUAGGAUCUGCAUCCGGUAUCUUAAUUCCUGAAAGUAAUAUAUGUACUGAUUUAUUCAUUCAAGUAUCAUGUUUGGUACUUUAUGCCACAUUAUCUAAGGAACAUAAAGCAAUGAAAUGCAAACUUCUUGUCCUCACAGAGCUUACAGUUUAAUUGGAAAGUAGACCCGUGCUGAGGCCACACUGUUAGGCCGAGGUACGCAGAAAGUAUGGAGAGGCAGUGGACUCUUGUGUGGUGGAUGCGUCCCAGGGAGCACUUGAGAAAGGAGAACGGCUGGGAGGGUCUGGUGGCAAGGGGUGGCCUGGGGACCCAUGGCUGCAGUCCAGCGAGGGUUGCUGUGUGUGCAUUUCUUCCCCAUGCCACCCCUCAAACACUGCCCUUUUUUCUCCUUUAUAUUCUGUCCUUAAGAAAUGUCCCUCUCCCAGUCUGUACACCUUUCCUUCACCUUCAAACUCGGCUUGCCACAGUGCCUCUCUUUUGAGCAUUCUGAAUUGACUCUGCCUGGUUCUGUGGCUUGAGUUCAGAACUAAAGGACACUUUUGUCUUUGUCUCUUAUUUAAAGAAAAAAUGGGUAAGUGUAGCCUAAAAUACACUGUCUGAAUUAAAAACAAGAGUGAUUUGGAGGAUAAAUACAUAUGCUUUGCAGAAAACUUCCUCAUUACUGAUUUUUAGAAGGUUGCAGAUAUAGUAAUGAUUUUUCCAUGUUGCUGUUUACAACUGUAAGGAUGAAGAAGUGGUCUGUUAAACACUGAACUCUGACAGUGUAGGUUAACGAAGGGGUUCAGGUUCUACGACACUUUUUAGAAACCAACGUUAUUUUUCUGAGCCAUUUUAGGUUCACCACAAAAUAAAUCAGAAGAAGAGUUCCUGUAUAUCUCCAGUCCCCACACAACGAUAACCUGUUGCUAUUCCAAACCACAGUGACACUUUGUUACAAUCAAAUCUACAGUGAUACAUCAUCAUUACCCAGAGUACAUACUUGACACAAGGUCACUCGAUGUUGAAUAUUCUAUGGGCUUGGACAAAUGUAUGAUAGACAUCCGCCUGUAGAAAUAUGUAAUUUAGGAUAUCCACCAUUGAAACAGUAGUAUAUAGUAGUAGUAGUAUCAUGUAGUUUUUUUUUUUUUUUUAACUUUAAAAAUGUCCUGUAGCUUUGUUACAAGGUGUAUGAAAGUAUUUAUUGAUGUCAGGAGUUGGGAGGGAAAUUCGACCGAUUAUCGAAACGUAAACAGUGCUAAAUUAAGGUAACAUUCUUGGAUGUUACUAGCAAGGUGUUGGUUUAUAAAUCUCCUCACCUUUCAGGAGCAUCUCUUUUGUGUACAAUGAGAGAAGCUGUUACUUGGUAUUUGCUUAAUGGGCCUGUGUGUUGUAAGGCUCGUUCAGGACCUUUCCUCCGAUUUCCUAUCUACCUUUCAAAAACAGAAAAUUCAGGAUCCGUGCAACAUCUUUUGAGCACUGACUGUGCCACACACUGCACUACAUGCUGGAGAUGUAUGUGUGAGGUGUAUGUGUGAGACACGUGAGUGUCUCCAGGACCUCAGGUCUGGCAAGACGAGCAGUACAGGAAGGGGGUGUGCCCUUAGAGAACACGGUGUCUGUGAGUUGCAGCCACCAGGCACUGAAAAUUGUGCUGAGGGGGGGCAGCGGUGUGGGGCAGCCAGACAAACUUUGUAAGACUCGUGACUCUAGGCUAAUCUGAGGUGACCUGCUAUUUAACAGCAGUGAUAAUACCUAGUUCGUCUGCCUUAAUGGCGCUUGAACCGUUGUGUGGUUAACAGGGCAUGUGUUUGGGGGUGAUAUGUGGUUGAAUAGAGAAAAAAGAAAGUCAUUGGAGACCUGGGAAAGCUAGAUUUCUCAUGUGGAAUCCAGCUGUUAGAACCAAAAGGAGCCAGCACCCCUCCUGCCCACCCCCUCCACGUUGUGAGGGAGCCUCUAGGUUUCUUAGAUUCUGGUUGGAUACAUUACACAGCAGCACACCUGCCCCUGGAAGCUUGGAGAGGCUCAGAAACUUGCUUAGGGCUUUUUAUCAAAGCAUGUGAAAAGCUCUGGGCUUUGCUUUUCAGUAUUUGUGGGAUUAAGUUUGACUUUGUGCUCUCAAAUAAGGUAUUUACCUUUUCUGAACUCAAUUUUGUCUUCUUUAAAAUGGAAAUAAAGAACAGAAGACUUUAGCUCAGUGGCAUAAGCACCUGCCUGACAAGCAUGAGGUUGUGAGUUUGAUCACUGGUACAAAAAAAAAGGAAAUAAAUAAGCUGGGUGUGGUGGCGUGUGCCUGUAAUCCCAGCACUCUGGAAGGCUGAGGCAGGAGAAUCUCACAUUCAAACCCAGUCUAAGCAACUGAGACUCUGUUUCAAAAAAAGGGCUGAGGAUAUAGCUCAGUAUGAAAGCCCUAAGUGUAAUCUUCUGAACCACAAUAAACAAACAAAUAAAAAGUAAAAAUCUAUAUCUAAUGGAAUCAUUCUGCAGAUCUUAUUGGACAGUAUGUAAAAUGCCUGUGAUGUUAUUGGACUUGGAAUAACUACAUCAUGUUACUUAAAAAGGAGACAGGCUCUUAAAUUGUAGUUCUUAAAUUCAUAGUUUCCUUAUAUUUUGAUCUUUUCAUAGUUUUAAUCUAUUUUUCUCCAUCAGUGGAACAAAAUGUAUUUUGAAUGUUUUUCAGAUUCCUGUAUAUACAUAAAACAUUUACAAACCAUGGUUGGUUUCUCCAUCAGGCCUUCAGCUCAGAUGUUUAGAGAGUGGGGCAGGGGAUUAGGGUGUGGCGGACUGUAGGGGAAGUGGGCAUGGCCUGUUUAUUACAAAACCAGGAUGCUGGAGCAGAGCAGUUCUAGAUCCCAUCCCAAAGCUGUGUGUACUUUUCCCUGAGAACCUGAGCAAGUUUUCCACAGGACAGCACCGAGCUGACACCAUCUUGGGGAGGAAAAAUGCUAACGAUGAGGAACCCUUGUUCCUUCAUGGUGGCCUGCUCUCAGCUGUACAGUACUUGUUUUUUUGCUCAGACUUGCUCUGCAGUCCUUGUUUCUUCUCCUACCUUUAGUAAGUAUAAACCUUGCUACCAUUUGCGCUUGUCUUGACCAAUUCUUUGCUCAAGACAGAACCUAGAAACCACCUCUAAAAGGAGACUGUAGUAUGCACCACAAAACCCUGUAACAAGGUGGUAUUUUGUACACUAUUUCAAUUCUUUCAGGAAUAGCCUCAUUAUCCAGGUAUCUCUUCUGUCUCAGUUUAUUUCACAUCCAACACUUUCAGUUGCUUUUUGUAACUAUUAUAUUUUCUUUGGGGAGAGACAGUACUGGAAAUCGAACUCAGGACCGUGCACUUCCCAACCAGGCACUUGAGCCGCUGAGCUACAUCUCCUUUCCUAUAUUUUCUAAUUAGCAAAAUUUUUCGAAAAUGAUUUAUACUGUGGCAUGACAUUUUGCUACCACAUAUUCAAAAUAGAGUAAGCCUUCAAACAUGUAAUUCUGAGAUCAACAAAGGAAGUUUUUAGAAACCAUUUUUUUCUGUGGGCUGAGUAACGUACUUGUGCAUUUUAUUCAUAGCUGAUUGCUUAGAAAACAAUUACAUGUUUCUUGUCUUGUCUGUACUUCUGGCACCACGUGUUUCUAUAGCAGUGACCUUAGUCGAGAUUGUAGCCCCCAAAAUAGGUCUCUCUCUCUUUUUUUUUUUUUUGGUAUCGAGAAUUGAAUUCACAACCACACGCUUGCAAGGCAGGCACUUAUGCCGCUGAACUAAAUCACCGGCCUUGUAUAGGUCUCAUUUUCUAAGCACAGCUGAAAAAUGAUUUUCAGUAUCAUUGAUCAACCCCCCCCCUGUAAGUUAGUACAAGUUGUACCUCAUUCUAAAAACCAUUAAUGCUGAUAUUAGAUAGUCUUUCCAUCCACUGUCUCUUAUUCUGUGCCUGGGAAGAUGAGUGUUAGUUUUCCAAAGUGAGCAAGCAAGCUGGGCUGCCUGUCUUUCCAAGAAUGCUGCCUGUUUGAGAACACUCUCCCAAAUUCACACUAUGACAUCAGAUCCUUGUUUUCUUUGGUGGGGCAUUUUUUUUCCUAUUAUUACUUAUUUGAGACAAGGUCUGGCUGUGUUGCUCACUCUGGUCUUGAACCUAUGGGCUCCAUCAAUCAUCCUGCCUCAGCCUUUCAGUGGACUGUAGGCAUGGCCACCACACCUAGGCAUUUUUUUUUUAAAGAAAACAAUUAUAUUAUGGAUAAAGUCACCAAUGUUUACCGAUGUGUAAUCAGAAUGGGUUUUAGCUCAUAUUUUUUUCUUGGCAAAAUAAUUUGUAUUUUUCUUUCCUUUGGACUAGGAAAAUUAAAGGCAUCCUAUAUGAGGUCCUUCAGGUGAAGAGAAAUAUCUGGAAUUUCUCGUGUAGGAAUUGUUAUAGACCCAAAAAAAUACACGCUAAAAUUGACAGGGUUCUUUCAAAGACAAAUGUUAGUCCCUUGAAAGACAGAGGUGCUGAUGGAAGACUGGUGCUUUGAAAACCAUGCAUUGCCCUAAGUGACGACUCCCAGCCGUUUUCUGUGGAUGGUGGGAGUGGAUGCAUCCUGUUGCAACAGUGGGAAGUGCUGCUUUGACGACUGAGAAGUGGUUGAUGCUUUUGUGGGUAUUUUGUUCAAUUGGAGGCCUGAGUUCUGCCAAGUGACAAACUGAUGUUUGGUGCAUCAGUAUCAGGGGUUAGGACAGAGCAAAAUGAAAUAGCACUCUGGACCCAAGGUGCACAUACAGUGUUGAACACUGUUUUUGGUACUGAUACAAACCAGGGGACAUCUGGUCAAGCUCAGAGAGUUGAAAGACUAAUUGGCAAAUCAUCUAGGACUCAGCUUUUAAAACUAAUUUUGCAGACUGGCUUAAUCAGAAAAAGAACCUACUGACCAACGUGUUAAAAAAGCCAGGUGCACCACUCUCUAGAGGCUCUCACAGUUUGCCAUGGUUGCUUCUUGUUUUUUCUUUGUGUUUGUCCUACCUUCAUCCCUGCAGUGACAAGACAACUCAACAGUCCCGGCCUGACUUAUGUUCAGCAGUGAGUCCAGCAAGACACAGCUCUUUCCAGAGUCGUGUGAAUAAAAGUCAUGGGCCUGACUAUUGCUUGGUUCUUGUGCCUAUCUUGGGAUCAGCUGACAUGUUCCAACAAACAGGAAGUACUUAUUACCUAGGCACAGUCCAUGAUCCACUCCUGGAGCUGGCUGGAAAUCAGGGAGGGGCACAGUAGAGGUGAGCACAUGGGAAAUAGUUACGAGAAGUCAUGGAGUAGACACAGAGCAUCAGGAACAGCUGAGCUCCAUCAUUGCAGUCAGGACUGAUCCAAGAGGAAAAAUAAAAUGACACAAAAUAACAAUAUCUAUAUAUAUAACAUGUCAUUACAUGUGCUGUAGGUUUUGAGAGGAGGCCAUGAGCGAGGACUGGAGUCAUUGAGACUGUAAAUCUUGGUAGAGCAGAUGGUUAUCGAUUUGGCCUUUGAAGAGGGUUAUGGUUCUUGGUUUGGCUUUCCCUGAAGCUGAUGAGGAAAUGCCUGGUGCCAGAACUAAUGAUGUCCCCCCAGCCUGUGUUCCUCUAGUAGAACAGUGCAGCACUACAUAACAGACCUAGCCCUCAAGGCUGACACAGGAAUCCAGACACUAAGCUUUUGGCUUACAGAAAGAACCCACAUUCUAUUCUGAAAAGCUGGAGAGUUAUCCAACAACAGUACAUAAAUAAGUAAGUGGCAUAUAGUACAAAUGCAUGUGGAAAUGGUUUCUAACCAUCAAGUCGUGUUUACAUUUCAGUAAACAGUUACUGAGCAGCUGCUCAUUGAAAUACUUUAGAUGUUUUAAAUGAGAUAAACUAAGCUAUGAGAUUGUUUAUAGCAUGAACUCAGCCAUCUGUAGAUGACUUAGAACACAAAAGCCUUAAAGAAAAUACAUCAAAAAGAUAUGUGGUUGCCUCUGUUCUUUAUACUUACCUGUAUUUUCAAAACCAAAGAAAGCUGCACAGCUAUGAACUGGCUAAAUCAAGAGAUUGCGUUUGAAACAUGAGGCACCAGGCUUCUGUAGGAAUGGGACGUCAAGUGCCACCAUUCUGGACGUCAAGGCAGUAGUCCCAGGGGCCUUGAGCUCCCAACAAGACCGUGUCCAUGUCUGCACAGAUGGGAGCAGGGCAAGUUCUGCUGGUGUGGAAACUUACCUGUCCUUCCAGGUCACCAGAAGUCUGCCUCCUCGGCGUGGGUCUAGUCGUUGCUUUCCACCUGGAGGUUCCUCAGACCAUCUUUCCUUGGCCGUCGUGUACACCUUCCUGUCCGCCUCUCCCCUCUAGUGAGACACUGGCUCCUGAGCCCAUUCCUUUCUCUACUGUAUUUGCUUUUGGCAAAACCUCAGGCCCCUUUCUGCCAGAGCCCGACUUCUUCAUUGACCUUCUCUAACUUGAAAUUACACCAGGAUCACCUUUCGUAGUUUGCAGCGCACUCUUUCAUAUCUCACUCAGUACCUUGUGAUACAGCUGGAUGACAUCAUAGUCCCUAUUUAAAAGUGGGAAGAGAAAGUUCAAAGCUUUUAACGUGCCCAGAAGUUGGAAACUCAGGUCUGCUCACUCUGGAUUCACUUUGCUUUCUGUGGCCUCAGUGAUGCUUCACCCCUGAGAUUGCACAGCCAGAAUCAACAGGAGUAUCUGAUCUUUCACUGAGAAUCACUUACACCUGCUCACUUAUUUCUUAAGUCUUGCCUGUCUUUAGCUAAGGGCUGUGUGGCACAGCCUGUAAGACUAGCAGUGAGGAUGGCUGAGGUGGGAGGACUGCAAGUUCGAGCCCAGGCUGAGCACUUAGCAAGACCCUGUCUUAAGAUGUAAAAAAAUAAUAGGGGAUGGACAUGUAGCUCAGCAGUAGAGUGCUCCUGCUUCCGUCCCCAGUAUAGUUUCCCCGCCAAACAAAGACUUCAGCCAUCUGAAUACAACUUUUCAGGGUCAAUUCAACUACACAUUUCAAGUUCCUUAGCUUCCUUCCCUCCUGUAGCUUUUUUUUUUUUUAAUGCUGAAGUGUAAGCCCAAUACCUUUCACAGAUGUCAUCAUUAGUAGGAUUCUGUAAUUUUAAGUGUUUUAUACUUUAUGAUUGAAACAUUAGUCUGAUCAGUAUCUAAGUUUGGCACGUUUCUUUCUCCUUAUACAAUAAAUUCUCAGAAAGUGACAGGUGUGUUUUCUAUUUUUAGGAAUCUAUUUUUCUUCUAAGGAGAAGUUCAAUAAGUGCAGAGAGACUGACCAGCCAACCCCAAGGAAAUAAACUAAUCCUUCCUUGAGGCACAUUUUCAUAGCAUUUCUGGAAAUAAUUAUGAGAUUAAAUUUUCCUGAAAAUUACUGAAACAUCUGUUUCUUCAAAAUUAAAUUGGAAAUAUUAAUGCCUUGGACAUCCUUAUCCCGCAAAAUCAUUUACCAUUCCGGGACCCUCAGCUGCGGGACUUCCUUUCCUCGAGGUUGUGCUUCAUAGCUGCACUCCCCAGGAAGCUUCUGUUUGCACAGUGCAUGGUCACUUCAGACCAGCAGCUGCCGGCCGCUUUGUUGCCAGCGUUUCCAAGUGCAGACCUUUACCAGAAUCUUCCCUCCUCUGAAGAGUGUGUGUGAACUGAGUGGUGGUGUAAGACUGCAGUCCCAGCUACGCCAGAGACUGAGGCAAAAGGGUCAGCUGGAGCCCAGUAACCAGGCAGCAUAGGACAAGAUUACCCAGCAGUCCUUUAGCCUAUCAGAUUACCCAGACUGCAGGGCAGGAACUGCCUCUCUCUUCCUAUGUAUCUCAGACCCCAGCACUCCCAGUGGGCAUCAGGAAUUGUAUCUUCAAGAAAAAGUAAGAUAGGAAAUAAAGUAUCCAUCGUUGCUAAGAGUUCACCAUGAAACUGGCCCUUGCAGAGAGGACAACAGGAUUAGAGGUUUAGAGGAAAUGUUUUUAUCACUGGCCCAGGAACUUAGGUAGGCCCUAUCCUGACUCGUACAAGGAAGGAAGCGCUUUGCUUUGCACUGGGAAAUGUUCUGCCUCUGUCCUUCCCUACUCCCACCCCAGCCCAGCUGAGGUAAGAGGAGGGCUUUUCCUGCUUUCCAUACAUUCUUCCUUAUCUGCUCUUGGAAACUGUUUUCCUCCUCAGAGUUGUCCUUGAAGCGCCCUGAACGUAAUUUACAGUGCUAGUGCACCCCUGGGACCACCCUUUCUGGAAAGCACUCUUAAAGCAGUACCAAAGUAGAACAAAAAACAGCCUUUCUAAUUGGGAAUUAUUUCUAUAAUGUUCAUUGGAUAAAUACAUAAUCAUUACCCAUUGCCUUAGGCUGCCCAUGUGCAUGAUAACCUGUGUUGUAAGACUGAACUUUACCAUACAGUGGUAGAUUUUUUUUUUCACUUUUUCCGAAUUACACAUUUGGCUCUUUUAAAAACAAAUGUUACCUUCGGCCCAUAAAAUCAUAUGCUUGCGCUUCUGGUUUCAGUUGUUUCUCAGUUGCAUUUUAACCACAGUGUUGGUCACUGUGAAGACGCUGCUUUGCAGAGUCAUCCCUGCAGUUUCACAGCACAGUGCUCACUGUAGGACAGUGAAGAUGGUGUGUGCAGCUUGUGAAUUCAUGUGUAUUAAUGAGCAGUUAUUCAACACUUAUGGUAACUUUAUAAUCAGACUUAAGUGAGAGAAAAUGGAAUCUACUGUUGCUGCUUUCAGUGAGGAUUAAGUGUAUUCAUUGGUAUUAAUAGUGGCUCCACAAAUCUUGGACAGGCUGAGGAAGUGGCUAGAGGGUGAGGGCUUGGGAUGAUCUGUCCUGAUCUCUCUGGCUCUGGUCACUAGUUUGGGAACUGUAUCUUUUAGCCCCUCUGCCUGAGCGCACUCUGGCCCCACAGGAUCCCCAUCCAGGGCACACAGACAUUGUUGUUACUCACCUCACUUGAGUAACAGCAGUGGCAAUGAUGUGAGGCUGCAAAGGACAGAUACACAAAGUUGAUAAAUAAUAACAAGGGGCCCUAACUCACACUGGAUGUGAGUGGUAUACGAAAGGCUCCUGAGGACAAAGCCAAGGCCAAGGCCAGGCUGGAAGGUGUGUCACCUGAAGAGGAGCAGUGUGGGCUGGAGAGAGAGGGGAGCCACGUGGGAGCCCUGAGGCUCACUGAGAGGACAGAGCAACCCAGGACAAAUUAGUGGGACAAGGGCUGUGUGCGGAUCACCUAGGGAUUUUUCCUAAUGGCACUAUUAAGUCGUUUUUUUGAGUUUAGGCAUAAGCAAAUAGCCAUUUGUAAAACGUUUGUAUUUUAAACAGCAUCUACAGUUUGGAGAAGAGGGAAGAGAAAACUGUCUGAUUUAUCAGGGGUCAUUUUUGCUGUUGAAAAUAGCCCAUUUAUAGGAAAUGUAGAGGUUGAUUCAUGUAUCCAGAACUGUCAGAGGCUAGGCCACAGCCAGAAAAAUUAAUCUAAAAUGAAGAGUGACUAUAUUUUAAUAUUAUGAAGUGUCUUUAUGUACCAUAAGUGACAUAUAAUGAAAGGAUAUACAUUUGAGGCCAGGGAUCCAGUUUAUUUGUGUGAGAUUGUGCUAAAAUCUGCCUUUGUAUAUAUACAGCACUGUAGUAUGCUCUGAUGUUUCACAACAAGGCGUGUAACAGGGCAUCUAUUCCUCUGUCCAGUUUAUAGCUCAAACAAGCUAAGAAACAUUGACAUGACAGCAAAACACACCCACUCAUAAAUUCCUUCCUUGUAAGUGGGUGGGUUCUGGGUUUAAUCAUAAAGUCCUCAAGGGAAGGGAAAAAGAUAAAGCAUGUCUAGAUAAGACUGGAGACUGCUACGUGGUGUUCAGAGGACCUUUUGUAAUGGGAGAGGAGGAGAAGGGGAUGCCAGUGGCCAUAAGGGAACCAAGAAAGAUAACCAAGGUUAGUAAAUGAGUCUACUUAGGCAAUUUUCGCUGGGCUGAACCUUUCCUCUGGGCCACUUAAGUUACAAGGAGGUAAUGGUGUCUUCCUCCUAUAGAGUUUGUCUGUUAAAUAGCUGCCUAAGCUAUUUCUGGUGUUACCAUUCAUGUUGCAGGCACACAUCUCCAAGGCUAUGGUGAUACAGAGCAUAUGACUCAGGGAUAAUAUAGGAACUCCAAAUAACCCAAAGAAGAGAAAAGAAACACAACUCCCAACCUGUUAGACAUCUAAUACACCGAGUUCAUGUUCUCUUAAAAUUGAAGAAUGAAUUCUAGAAACAAUAGAAGUUAAAGAGUAGGAAGUAUUUAUUGAAAGAUACCUUCUAAGAGAGACAGAAAAGCAUUCCAAGUGGGUGACUCCAGGGAACCCACUUCUCAAGCGAGCUUUAGAGAACAAAACCACAAGGUUUAUAAGGUGGGACAAAACUAUAAUCAACUAAUAGGAUUUCAAGUGUAGUUGCUUAGGUAACAUCGAUCCAGAGGGGAACCACAAGGUGGGUAUGAGGUGGGACAAGACUAUGGUCAACUAGUUAGAUUACAAGUAUCAUCUUAGGUACUAUUGAUUAGAUGGGGAAGCAAGUCACUUAACAAUGUACAGGGAAGGAACAAGGACUUUUUCCUGAAAGACAGGGUGGGAGAUUUUGAUUCCCCACCCAAGUUGAUUGAUGCCUGUUUAGAAUAUCAAUCAUUAAUGUUCAUCUCUGGGGGAACUUUAUAUGUGUAGUCAUUUCUGUGUCUGGAGACCUGCCCUUCAACAAUUUCACCUCCAGCCACAGUUUUCUUUAGCACUGACCUUUUCUGAAGGGCUAGCCCUGUCUGACUGCCUAUGAGAUUUCUAAAUAACAUUGCUGUCCCUAGUAAUAGAGGUAGACUGGUCUGCCCAUGAGCUCUUAGCCCCCUCCCCCCCAAACCAGCUUCAGACCCCGCAUAUGUAAGUUAGUCCCUGCACUAACCGGUGAAGAACAGGGACCAUGUUUUCUUGUGGUGCUGUCUGGCCACCGGCUCUGUUUCAGCUGCACCGCCAGACUCUUGCAUAGAAAAGAAAUACCAGUGUGACAUGCAUUUUGGCCUGCAGUGUUUUCUUAUAUUCAACAGUGAAUACCGCCACUUUGCCUUUCUCUAUGGAAAAUGAUUCAUUUGGCAGCCAAUUUCAUAGCUGUAAACUUUAAACAACAAAGAAAUUUCUUUCUUGAGUGGAAAAAAUAUAGUCAAAGAAGAAAGACUCUUAGAGACAUUAAAGACCCAUCUGAUAGUGGAAGACCGGAAAAUGUUAAAUUAUUCAGAAGUUUCCCGAUAACUGGUGAAUAAAUGCAUGAUGGAACAUUUAGAAUUUGGCGGUCUUCUAGAUAAGCCAUUAAACAAAUGCAUUAUGUAGCUUCAAAAAUUUUGGGGGAAAUUUUUAUUAUGAUAUAUUGGAUGAUGGCUAAACUCAAAUUCGUGCUAUGAAUGAAAAUAUAAUGCCCUAAUUACAGUGAAUUAUUUUUACUAGUGCAUUUGGCUUCUUUUUGAAAAAAGAUACUCUGAGGCAAAUCAGACAAUCCUUGAAAGUAGGAUAUUGGUGUGUAGGGUGUGUUACUGCCCCCCAGCAAAUGCCGUAUGGGUUGAGCUACAUUUGGUGAUCACAAACCCUUCUUCUUGGAAUCACUUUCCUGCUGUUUGAGGAAUGUGUGUAGUCUCCAGCCUUUAUUUCCAGAGUGAUUUCUCAAAGAUACUGUGGUCUGGCAAAGCCGCAUGGUGCUCAUUAGGUUUGGAGCAUGUUUUAAAUAGUGACAUUUGAUUAUAUUUGUUGCCUUAAAGUAUGUGAACAAAAUGUUUCAAACCACAAGAACAAGAGAACUUUUUUAUGUUUGAUUGUGGUUAAUCUGUUUUCUGUUCCCCCUGGAGAGAAAAUGCUUAGAAAAAAAGUCACGUGUUUCAGGGUUCCUCCCAUAAAAUCAGAGGUAGACAUGAAAUAACAGGAAAAAGUCAUUUCACUUUAGUGGCUUUCAUUCUGAAGCAGUAUACUUGGAAAACUUAAAAUGUUCAUUGCCUGAACAAGUGGCUACAUACUUCUAAAGAAAUUCAUAAAAAAUUGAAUAAGAAAUAAUGAAGCUGUCCCUCCAGAGAAACCUCCUUCACAUGACUUUUCCUCUUCUUUGGUACAAUACAACCUGAAGGGCAUUUAAUGGCAACUAACAGAGGAUUACAUAGCGCUUACACCACGCAGCCUUGAAUAAUCAACUGCUUUCCUCUCAAUUUUAGCUAUCAGUUUUUUAGUUCUCUGAAUGUUGUCUAUACUGGUACAUAAUAUCACUAUUGUUUGGCACUUAGUUUCCUUUUCUUGCUUAGUAUAUUGCAAGGUACAACCUUUGCAGGAAAAAAGAGAGAAAACUAUGCCUGUAACCACUCUUGAGUGGUGUGUUAAGUGAGUCUGGAGAGACAGAAACCAGCCAGAAAAAUGAGUUCUAGCCAGAGUAGUCCAGACAGGCUUUAAAGAGGAAGGAAAUUAAAUCUGAGAACUCUGAAAACAAGUAGAUUUAGGAAAGAAUUGAGGAAGACUUUUAGAUAAGCAUCAUUUGUCUUGGGUAAAAAUACGGCUGAGAUGUUCUCUGCAAUGUUUUAUUUUUGUCCUCUGAAUGCUUUUCUGGGAGCAUAACUCAUUUCUUUUUGUACACUGUUUUUGUUUUUCUCAGCCCUCUGCUUCUAAGGUUGAUGAGAAUUCUUCCUGCAACUCACUGGAGAUUCUGUGGGAUAAAAUCCCAAAGGGUCACCUGCAUGUGCUUGUUGUAGACAGCAUAUUUUCAUUGGGUCAUUUACUGUGGCUUAAUUGGGGAGGUCCCUGGGUGGCCCUGAGGUGCAGAGGCCCCUCCUUGCCGGGUAGACUCUGCAAUGGUAGUGGCAUUUCCCAUUACUUGGGACAGAUGAAAUGGCUGAUUGUAGGGAGAGAUGUUCCGUGCCAGCCACCCCCCCCCACCCCGGUCGCUUUGUCCCUUCCAUGAUGUCGAAUGCAGGCAGCGCUGUUGUCCUUGCUUCUCCCUUGUGUCACCAUCUUCUAUACUGCAUAAAUCGGAUGACUCUCAGAUAAGCAACAGUCCAUGGAAAUCUUCAUCUCUCCUUCCUUCCUUCUCUGGCACAUCCUCCAGCCACACUGGCGACCAGCGGUGUGUUCACCUCAAGGCAUAUCACGUACCCAGCGGUGAGCCUUCAGUCCACAGUGCCAAGGUGGAAGUCUGCCUUUUUCCUGGGUCUACAGAAAAGCUGUCUUUCGGAUCCAGCUUUCUCUGUCUUCAAAUUGUACCAAUUUUAUUGGCUUACCUGGGUUAAUUACAUGAUUAAGUGUUUUACCAUAUGGGCUUAUUGUUUCAACAUUUUCCACUUGUUGGCUGUUUAUAGUAUUUUCCAUUUAUUGUAUUCCUGCAAAACUAACUUAUUUUUAAUGAUUCAUAAAAUACAUUUGUAAUGUAAUUGGGAUUACUAAUUUUUUUAAAUCCUUGCCUAUUUAAAGAAAAGCUAUUGUGUUUUCAAAAUGAGAUUCUUCAAGCCUACUGUGGAAACUGUAAUAUACAGAAAUUUUAUGACUGUCUCUGUUUGAGAAUCUUGAUAAUUUAAAUGUAAAUUCUGACCAGUUACAGUAACUUUGAUUCCUUCUAGUGCUUGAUAUUUUUUUUCCCUUUUAGUAAGUCUUAAGCAGAAGAACAAGUAGGCACCAAAUCCUAGAAAACAAGAUGGUAGAAAGUUUACCAGCUUACAGAUUCAGAGUUUUUAAGAGUAUGUAGAAAAUAGCAGACCUAGUUUUUUUCCCCCUUCUGCAGCUAAGGAAAGCUAUUGAAUGUAUAUAUAACAGUAACUUGGUGGAUUGGUUUACUGAAUUCAUUUAUCCAAUACUUAUGGCCUUGCUACUGCAUAUCCUGUAGUAGUCUAGGUCCCAGAUGAUAAUUAAGUGGGUGAAGACAGACAAACAGACUAGGUCCCGUGGUCAUGUCUUGCAUUCUAAGAUGGGAGAAAGCAAAAGAAGUAUAUUAGAUAGAGUAUAGCAAGGGCUGUGAAGGAAAGUACAGCUGGAGGAGGAGGUUAGGCAGUGAUGCAAACCUUUUAGAGUUUUCAGUGAUAACAAACCGCCAGCUUCAGCAUGUGUGCCAUAGGUUCACCACCACUGGCAUUAGAGUGAAAUGACAUUAACUAGAUGGUGGGGUGAGGGGCUCCCUUGCAGUGAGGCGAGAGGUUAGGGGUGGGGUUGUUCCUGACAGGGACUAGCAGAUGUGAACCUGUGAAGAAGUACCAUGUGUGGGAGACUUUUGAAGCAGAGAAGACAGAAUGAGGUCCAGCUAAGCAGGAGCAGAGCAGGGGCUGAGCCAAGGUAAGGACUUUCAGAGGCUUUGAGAUAAAGGAGCAAAGUAAUCAGAUUUAUGUCCAUGAAAAAUGACUUGGGUUGAGGGUGGAGAGCUGAUAGAUGGAGAGUUCAGACUCCAAGAGGCCAUGCCGAUCUCUGGUUGGUGGCUUGCAGCAAAAAGGCAAGGAUGGUGAGUGGUUGCUUUGGGGCAUGUUCUGUGCAAAGAGCCCCAAGAUUGGAUGCAACCUUGGAUGCAGGGUGAGAGAGUGGAACUAGAAUUAAUGGCAGGGUUUGGGGCUGAGGCACCAUGGGCAUGGAGGUGCCACUCACUCAGAUGCAUAAGUAAAGGUAGGAAUUGGUUGGAGGAAAAAGCAGAGCUCCAGAUUUUUGCAAAUGGUUUGCUCUUUGAGAUGCUUGUUAGAGAUCUAAUUGGGAGGUUCUGAUUACACCAAUUGUGGACAAGCAGGGUUCUGUAGGAUGGUGAAGGACCCUGGGGCAAGACAGGGUGGCCAUGAGCCCUGUGGGAGGCAGAGUCAGUGUGGCAUAAUGUGAUGGUGUUAUGCUUCGGUGGAGAUGAUGACUUCACAGAGCAGGAAGAGAGAUCUGGAGUGAAUGAGAAGGGAUGCGGUCCUACCCCACCACCUGCCACAAGAGGAAAAUAUUGACAGGGCUGCAAGUGAAGCAUCAUCCACAAGGACAAUCAGGAUUUAAUUAGUGUGAAAAGAUCAAAGAAAGGCUUGGCAGAGAGAUCUGGUUUUUGCCAAUGACAGAUCAUGACUUCUUAAAGUCCAGGGAAAGACUUGGGAGUCUGGGGCAGGCUAAGAGACAUUUGAAGGCAACUAAACAGGGCUGGGGCCUAGAAUCCUUGUAACAAGUGGAUUACACAGGGACAGAGGAUCUGAUAGGAUUAAUCAUCCUUCUUAAGACAGAUUCAUGAAUAAACUUUUUCCUGUCAAAAGAUGGUAAAUACUUUAGGCUUUGCAGGUCAUACCAUCUCUGUCAAACUUAGAUCUGCCCUUUCAGCAUGAACACAACCAUAGAUGACACAGAAACAAAUGGUCAUGGCACUAUCCCAAUAGAACCCUGAUUAAACAAGCAAGAGACAGAUUUGCCCAAAGGUCAUGGUCUUGCAGCCCCAAGCUAGGGAGGCAUUUUUAGUUGGUUGGAAGGAAGAGGAAGCUUUUGAGACCCCUAGUUCCGGCUUCAUCCUGAUCAGGUAUCUGUCAUCCUCUGGGAGAAGCAGGCCUUUCCAUCCCUCCUCUCAGUGCAGGAGCCUUUGGAAAUUUGGCUUCAUGAAGGAGACAGGUAAUCUCAGGCCUACAGUCAGGAACUUCCCCUCAUCUCCACAGCAGACAGACAAGAGGAAAUAGAGUUCAGAUGUGAAACAGGAGGCAGUGAAGUUACAUAAAAGAAAACUGCCUGGCAUUAAUGAUGGUAAAAUACAUGAAAUAACUAGGAAGAUUUGACGGAUAUUGGGAGUUUUAAUGAAUAAAAGCAGUUUCCUUCUUUGAGCUGGACCACAGAAUCUCAGUCUGUUUCAGGCCCUGGGUGUUUUCAUGUGAAUGUGCCAUUUUCUUAACUCAGUGAAAAGUAGAUCUGUCAGGCACUCAGAAAUGCAAUUUGAGAAUGUAAUGUUCUCACACUGUAGCUGCGUGUGUCCGAAAUCAGCCCUGGCCUGGACAGUUACGGUGAGGGAGUGCAUUACUCUGCAGUGGCCAAGGAGCAGGGUCAUGAUCAUACAGAAUUAGGCCUGUGAGAAAUAAGCAGAUUUGGGGUUCAGGGACUGUGGGAUGCAGGUGGUGACCUGGGCAUUCAAACAAGAAAGCAGAGUAGAUAUUAAACAAAUGCCUAUGAAAUCUCUCACAGAGAAAAAAAAAAAUUCACUUCUUUUAAUGUCAGCACUUUAGUGGGAUCUACUUGAAGACCCAUUUUCUGAGACAGACUCUUAGUAGGGGCAGAGGGAGCAGCCUUGGUGGCCAGACCAACUUCAGGCGGACCAUGGGUAAAGCAGAGACUGCGUGCUGGGCAGUCCCAGGAGUUUCACCCACCUCUUCCAAGAGUGAACUUGGGCCUCGGGCUCAUUGUUAAAGCAUUGUGUUAGGUGAUCUCAAGAGGGCUCUCCAGAUGUAAAGCUUCUGUAUGUCCUACAGCACUACAUGUCAUAAAAUAUUAUGGAAAUUACAGUUAUGGUGACAAACUUAAAAACACUGCUGCUGAACAAGCAUAGAUUGUCUUGUUUAGUUGAUAGGGCUUAACCACAUAAGGUACUUAGAGAUGUUAAACAAUUUUUUUUCAAAGUGAAACAUGAAUAAAAUUGCAUAUUUUUUCCAAAUCAUUGUUGCUCUUCUUAUAACAGUUGGUUACUUUUUGGUGCAAUAAUUUUCGCCUAGAUCUUACCAGGCUUGACCAUCCUUGCUGUGUGUCUACAAAGAAUAUUAAACUGCCUUCCCUUUCAUCUCACUGCAACUGCGUCUGCGCCAUCACAGCUGCACUUCAUUUCCACUUUGCAUUAGGGAAUACAAAACUGAGCUGUGUUUAAGCAACUUAGUGUCAAUCAGAGUCCAGAAUCCAUUUUCCCAGGCUGAGAAGAAGGUAAAUAAAUUGGAUCUAGUGAGAAGUCUGAAUAUUAGGAUGUGGCCGUCAUUGUCUCUUUCAUCAGAACUCCAUGAAGAGGGCAGGCAAUCCCCGAGGCCCUGCACGGGUCACUGGGCGCGCUGCCCUAUUACACAACAUCAGCAUAAUCCACUCUCUGGGUCCUUUGUGGGGCAGCGGGUCUUGGCCAGCCUGUUCUCCUGCCCCAGCUGCUGCCAUGCCAGCUGAUUCUGCUGCUCCUUAGCCUCUUUCAUGCCUGAUUCCCAUGAACAGGACCCGGCUUCGGUAAACAAGCUGACCCUUCUGCAGGCAGAAUCUCAAUUUGUAGUUAGUCCCAGGCUGCCCAGUCCAAGGUGCUUUUCUUCCUAUAGAAAGAGCAUUUGAUUGUCAUCAAGGAUUCUGGGGUGCUAAAACUGCCUGGUGCUACCAAGGGAGAUGCUAGAGGAGGGAAUUUCCCAGGAUGCAAUGCUGUCAUCACACUUCCAUGAUUUGGAGUUUUUAUUAGGUCAAAUACAUAUUUUCUUUCAAUAUUGUAAAAUUAAUUUAAAAAUCCAGUGAGCUUCAUGUAAAGGAUUGUGUUUCAAUAAAUGUAAUAAUUCAAAACACCUGUUUAACUCAUGGCUUUGGAUUCUAAUCAAAGAGCUAUUACUCCUUUGCUUGAGACAUCUGAUUUUUCUUUUGCUUUUUCUUAAAAAAAUAAAAAGACAACACUCCCAUUUGAUUGAAACUUGA
This is a long non-coding RNA of Cavia porcellus (domestic guinea pig), 58204 nucleotides long. RefSeq lists it as uncharacterized. Lineage: Eukaryota; Metazoa; Chordata; Mammalia; Rodentia; Caviidae. The record is from RefSeq and is a predicted model, not a curated record. The transcript has 2 exons.